GACUAAAUAGAAUUCCAGACUCUAUUUUGAAGGACAAAGCUGUGGCUGAGCUUGGUUGUGGAAAUGGAUGGAUAACCAUUGCCGUAGCUGAGAAGUGGUUGCCUUUGAAGUUUUGUUGGUUUGUCGUCCUUAUGCCAUGUGAGAGCUUUUGUUUCCUUCCUUACCAGUGCCUUCAGGGGCUCCAUCAUGAUUUCUCUCAUCAUUUUCUAUCUCUGUGUUUUGCAAGGCUAUUUGAUAUUUAUAACAGCAUUGGCACCAGGUUAUGGUGAUUUAAUGCAUUCCUAUUAGGAAAAAUUACAUAAUUAUCAACUCUGUCCUUGUCCAAAAGUCUUUGUUGGAGUAUGUUGAAAAUAUAACCUUGUAGCAGUUCUUAUAUGCUGUCUGAAUAUCGUUUUGCAGUCUAUGGCCUUGAUAUUAAUCCCAGAGCAAUAAAGAUCUCUUGGAUACAAUUGUACUUAAAUGCAUUAGAUGAAUCUUUUUCUAAGCUUUUCCGUCACUGUCACUGCAAAAGGUCUUUUGUAUUGAUGGUUAUCUGUGGGGCCAGGAAAGAAGGUCAGCCCGUCUAUGAUGCGGUGAAGAAAACCUUACUGGAUAGGGUGGAGUUUGAUGAAUCUGAUCUCCUAGCGUAUUGUUGACAUCAUGACAUUCAACUUGAAUGACUAGUGGGGUGCAGACCUCAGGUACUCUCACUUUCUGCAACUCAUGAUAUUUCUAGGGGAUUAAAUUUUGGUGAAGUUUGUUUACCCAACAUCAAGUUGGAAUUUUAGUGUGCCCACAUGGAUUACUUUUAACUCCUAGUUUAACUUAUUCUGUUUUCUCCAUGCAGGUUCUCAACUCCAAUUCCAAUGCAAUGUCGAAAAUAAUCAAUGAAAAUGCAAGCGAGGAAUUUCUGUAUUCAUUGAGUAACUAUUGUGGACUGCAGGUUGGAGGAUAUUCUAAAUAAUUUAAUUUUGAUGCGCAAUUGCAAAUUUCCGGGAAGUUAGCACUUACAGGCUUCUUCUGGUUUCACUUAUUUCUAAGCAUACUUGUUAUAACUUUGGUUUGAAGCUUGCAUACCUUAGGUAAGGUUGUUGUCUUUAGUUGGUCAAUAUCAAUUGGGAAAUAUAGCAAACCAGUGAAGACAGUGGGAAAAGGAUAAUGUGAGUUUGACAGAUGCUGAGAGGAGAUAGGGAAACUUGGAUCUGAAAGUUUUUUUUUUUUUUUCUUAACGUGUAACCUCUUCACAAUGCCAUUGAUUCCCAUAGUUCAUGUUGCUAGGUGAACUUAACAACAACUAUCUGUUAUGCCUUGUGGAUAACUGAGAAAGUUUAUUGAUUUUGACAGAUUGCUUUUUGAAAUAGAGUGCAAGUAGAUUGACUAAUAAUGAACAUACUGUAUCAAGUUGUUACAUUUGAACAUGUUAAGGUCAUAUGAAGCAUACUUCUUGUAACUUUUUUUUUUUUUUUGCCCUCCCCAUUUCCCUGUAUGGAGGGUUUCAUGGAGGAUCAGUUUGGCUCAGGUCUAAUUGCUGGAGCAGUUGAGGAAGGAAUUACUGUUAUCAAAAUAAAGAUUCAUCUCACUCACUAGCCAGUUGAGCAGCUCGUCACUAGUCGAAUUCAUUGCCGAUUGCGGCCCGUAUCCAUUGCCCAUCACUGUUUGGAUUCGUCGGUUCUAUCAUGUUGGUUCAGUAGCUCAUCGCCGCUGUCAUGGUCGGCCUCUUUGUUGUCAUUGAAGAACCAAUCGAUAAAUAUGAUGAUAAUUUUUUAUGACAAUAAUUAGGAUGAUUGAUGAUGAUGAUUACCAUUGUUUUUUUUUUUUUUGAAGGAUUACCAUUGUUGAUGAUUAAUAUUAUUGAUGAUGAUUUUUUAUGACAAUAAUUUUGAUGAUGAUGAUGAAGAUGAUGUAAUUGCGAUGAGAUAAUGAAGAUGAAACUGAAUUGUGAUGUUGAUAAUGAAAUCGGCGGAAGGAAGAAGAUAAUUGUGGUGAUGAUGAUGAUGUUGAUGGAGAAGAAGAAAUUAACAUGAUUGAUGACGAAGUAAGGAGGAAUUUAUAAAACAGAGAGAAAAAGAAAAAAGAGAAGAUGAAGAGGAUAAAAAGAACAAAUAAAAAAAUAAAAAAAGGAAAAAAACAGGAGAGAAAAUAAUAAUAAAAACAAAAGAGGAAAAUAAUAAUAAUUAUUAUUAUAAAAUAAGUUAAAUAUUAUUAUUAUUAUUAUUAACAAUAAUUUUAUUGAUAACCAUAAUCAUUUAAUAGAUAAUAAAAAUAAUGGUAAUAAUGAAUUACGGGUAUUUUAAUAAUUUAAAUAAUUCAUUGUGAUUUAAAAAUAAAAUAAAUAUAUUAAUAGUAUGUCUUUUUUAGACGGCCAUCCAAUUUUAUGUCUUUUUUAUGGCCAUCCACUUAGUAGCUUGGUUAGACGUAUUGGGAUGUCGUAGGCCUUAAAAGAUAAGAGCAAAAAAUCAAUUCCAAAUCUAAAGUGAAAAACACUAGCUAGAAAAAAAUCUAUGUUCUGAUGUCUUAGUUUGUAAGCUCAAACAAUGAAUAGUAUACAUACAGCGCAUUAUAAAACACAAAACUCAUGUAGAUUUUUAGUUUCGAAAUUCAUUUCAGAAAAUCUGUUCUGUUCAACAGGUUAAAGUAGAUUAUCAACUAAACUCUACCCACAUACUUGCAUACAAUUAGAGCACUAGGUCAACAAAGGAGCACAUCUUUCGGAAGAUAAUUGAAGACUUGUUUGGCAAUUUGAAGAUUACAUCUUAGCUCUGCCAUUGGAAGCAAGCAACUCAGCUGCCCAAAGACCGCCAUGCCAUCAAGACAAUACCUAGAUACAACAUCAAUAAUAAUAACAUCAAGAAUUACAUAGAGGCCGUCGCACGUUACACCCACCCCAAUAAGAAACUAAUUAAUACCGUCUUAGCUCCUCUGUUUUAAAAGAAAUUAACACACCCAUGAAGUAGGAAUAAUUAAUUAAUUUAUACAGUUCAGUACUCAUUCGACCUCUGUUUCAAAUCCAAAUCCACUGCUCGACCAUUUACUAUGACGUAAGGUAUAUGGAUUAAUUAACAAGUGCCGAUAUUGUCCUCCAUCCUUUUGUGUACCUUUCUUCUGGCAAGGCCUUUUCUGGAAAGUAUUUGAGCUCCAGACAAUUACAGAAUUUCAAUUUGCUGAGGUUUUGAUGAUCAGCAAUUGAAGAAGACAAGCGUUAAUAAUUAUGAAGAACUGGUGUAAUUUAUAUCAUGUAGGAAGCCCUUCAGUUACUUCUUUGACUGUGCCCAAACUCUUUUAAGGGCUAAUAUCAAAAUUUCGUGAUAUUGUGCCUGAAGAGCUUCAUACCUCAUUGUAACUGUUUCUAAAAGUUGAUGAGCCCAAAUAUCCAAUAACUGAUAAAUUAUGUUGAGAAAUAGAAAUAUUAAUAGUACUGAUACAGACGCAUGGAAGUCCCCCGUUUUGAGUUUAUGCUUGUGCUUGUCUACUUGACAAAAAGGACAUAGGUGGAAAGUGGACUAAGCAUCAUUGGAUAACUUGGAGGAAAAAUAGUGUCCAGCAUAAAGAAUCCAUCGUUAUGUGCCGCUUCCUAUUUAAUUACAUUUAUCUAACAUUUAAAAGAUGGAAGUAGAAAAUUAACUCAGUUUUUCAGAUAUGGCUCAUAUACAAUGCAAGUAUCAAGAUUUAAUUAGAGUUCACAUAUAUACAUGCGUCUAGUUUUUAUUGAGAGAUUAACUAAUCAUAAAUACUCGUGUUCUAAAUGAUUGAAUAAUGACAUUAUUGUUAUUUAUAAAUUUAUAAGGAUAAAUUUAUACCGAAAAGGGUCCCCAACAUAACUUGAACAACUUUACUUGUGUUUGCUCAUUGAAUAAUGUUAUAAAAAAUAAAUACAUAUGUUAGAAGAUUCAUAGUAUAUUGGAGUGUUUUUUGUACUUGAAUGAUAAUGAAUGAAGGUAUGUUAAUUUACUUUAAAUAGAAACCUUCCUAAAAGGAAUAGAAAUGCUCUAUAACAUACCAAAUACUACCUUAAUCAAAAUUUAGUAGGCAAAAAUUUUAAAAAUGGAAUAAUUAACCCUAAUUAAAUAAUUGUCUUACAUCACCAAACUCUUUUUUUUUUUUUUUAAUUAAGGCAUCACAAAACUCUGUAAAGCAUAAAAUAUAAUAGGCAAAUUUGAGCUAAAAAAAAAUGAAGUUAGGAAAAUGACUUGCAUACUGUCUUUGAUGAGCGCAUAAUUUUCUUGAAAAAAAAGGAUUUUUGUGUUUUUUUUUUUUUUGGUAAAUUCGUGUCGUUUACUAGUCUUUUGGGUUUUGUUGUAUAAUUCUUUGGUACGUGUUUAUCUUGCUUUUGUAUAUGUUAGGAAACGGAGUGAAAUCCCAAUAUUAAAAUAUGGAGAAAUGAUUUUUCAUGAAUAAAAUGAUUUAAUUUAUUUUUAUUUCUACAACAAAAAUUAUUAAGUUAUCAACAUAUUGAUUUCAUCUGUAAGUUCCAGUCAGUCAGUUUCUCACGUUCCAUUGUUAUCUUUUAAAAGAUACUGCAAUGCUUUAAGUGUAUUUGAUCACUUCACUAAUAAUUUGAUAUUUACAAAUUGAAAAAAUAAAUUAUUUCUGACCAAAGACACUAGAGAAUGUCGAAAAGAGUUUGAGUAAUUUUUGUAUACACACACAACACAAAAUUAAAUUACGUGGCAAUGUUGAUAGUGAGUCGUUUUUGGGAAUCCAUAAGUUCACAUGUGCACAGACGUCGGUUGCCUGCCAGCCCUUUCCUUUUUUUUUUUUAAUAUCUCCAAAUCAUUUAUUAGAGUCCCAAAUUUAUCACACAUCAUUAAGUAAAAUGUGCCAAUUAGUAAGAGCCAGCUUCUUUCCUCUGUUUUCUUGCGUAUGCUGCAUUCAAGUAUCACUGAAAAUUUUAAUUAUACCGUCAACAGCUGCAGGAAAAUUAUAUACAUUCUAUCAACACCUGCAUGCUGCAAUCCUCAAUGACUGCCAAAUCUUCAUACCAUGAAUAUCAAGUAACUUCCAACUCUUCAUAUAGUGAAUCAGCAGGAUUCACGUCCGACCAACUCCACAGGCACGGCUAAAGCGAAAGAUUAUUUUUUCAGAUAUUAUCAAGAAAUUAAUUUAAGUGAAAUAAGCUAAGAGUGAUUUCGAUAAGGUUUUCAGAGAAGAUAUAGAAAGAAGAUAAAAUAAAUAAAUAAGUAAUUUCAGUCGAUGCAAAAAAUGGGCAUGUGUCUGACUAACAGGACAUGGCUUGGAGCAAAUAUCAAUGGAGGAAAUAUCAGCUUAUAAUUUUAUAAAAUAAGCAUCAAAAUAUUCGACAAGUUUGAGGUUUAUGAAAUAUUGGGAAAAUAGACAAAUAACAAAGACGCUCACACUACAAGUUAAGCAGAUCAAAUAAACAGAACAAAGGAAAUAACUGAUCAAUUUAAUUCUUUGUGCAAUGGCCACGGCAACAGAGAAAAUAUGUCUACAUGACUAUAUUAAUGCUACUGGCGUGGAUGGUACCAUCACCAUGAUGAUAUGAGAUUAAAAACAUUGACUUCAUAAUUUUAUAAAAUUUCAUAUAGAAGAUAUAAUUGAUUUGAGUUAGUUUAACAGAGAAAAAAGAAUAAUAAGGAAUUACAUUGAUGUGGCGUGUGAUGAGAAUUGAUAGAGAAGAAAUAUUGAUCAUGUAAUAAUGAAAUAUGUAUUUACUGAAAAAUAUUUGGCAAUAAAAUGAUGCUAUAAAAAUUUAACAUUGUUUGCAAGAAAAUAGUUUGACAACUAAAAGACAUAUAUAUGCAAUGCUUUGAGUUUAUUUUAUCGCUUCACUAACCAUUUUGUAACUACAUAUUAAAUAUAAGUUGAAUUAAUUCUGAUCUAAGACUCUAGAGAAUGUAGCUAGAAAAAUGAUUUGAUUUUGUAUAUAAACAAUAUUAGAGAUGAGAUAUGUCAAAAUCAAUUACAAGAACAAUAAUAAGAACAUAUUCUGCAAAAGUUAUAAAUACAUAUAAAAUAAAUUUAAUUUCAAAUUAGGAAAUUAUUAAUUUGUAUAGUAAGAGAGUCCAAUAGAAAAAUAGAAAUUUUUUUGAAAGAGAUUUGCUUAGGGAACAACUUUAGUUUGGUUUAGUUUGUGAAGGAUCAAGUAAUUGAACGCAAUUGAAGGAAAUUCAAACUUUUGAUUUUGACAAAGUAAUCGUUAAAAUGCUAAAAAUACUGGGACAAUAGACAAAUAAUGAAGAUCCUAAAAGUUGGUGGAGCAAAUAAACAGAGUAAAACAGAGCAAAUAUUUACCGUUAUACAUAUAUUUUUAUUUUUUUCAAAAAUGAAUGUGUCUAAUAUAUAACCACAGUCCGCUAUUACUGAUGUAUUAUAUAAGCACGUGUCUAAUUACCAAAUAAAUUCCACUUUGACAAAGAACAAAAGCUAAUUUUAUUGUUACCGCCUGCAGUUGUGCUUUCUUUUAUUUAUUUUCGUUUUGUUAUUUUCGUUUUGAAUGGUCCUGCAAUUUGUAUUCCUUUCUGUGGGAUUGGUUUUUGUGAUAAAUAUUAUUCAAACUGCUCAACAGGUGGAUUGUCCUGCAAUUUGUAUUUUCGUUUUAGUGAUAAGAACAUGGCUUGGAGCAAAUAUCAAUGGAGGAAAUAUCAGCUCAUAAUUUUAUAAAAUAAGCAUCAAAAUAUUCGACAAGUUUGAGGUUUAUGAAAUAUUGGGAAAAUAGACAAAUAACAAAGACGCUCACACUACAAGUUAAGCAGAUCAAAUAAACAGAACAAAGGAAAUAACUGAUCAAUUUAAUUCUUUGUGCAAUGGCCACGGCAACAGCGAAAAUAUGUCUACAUGACUUUAAUGCUACUGGCGCGGAUGGUACCAUCACCGUGAUGAUAUGAGAUUAAAAGCAUUGAUUUCAUAAUUUUAUAAAAUUUCAUAUAGAAGAUAUAAUUGAUUUGAGUUAGUUUAACAUUGAAAGAAAGAAUAAUAAGGAAUGAUAUCGAUGUGGCGUGUAAUGAGAAUUGAUAGAGACAAAUAUUGAUCAUGUAAUAAUGAAAUAUUUAGUUACUGAAAAAUAUUUGGCAAUAAAAUGAUGCUAUAAAAAUUUAACAUUGUUUACAAGAAAAUAGUUUGCAAUUAAAAGAGAUAUAUAUGCAAUGCUUUGAGUUUAUUUUAUCAUUUCACUAACCAUUUUGUAACUACAUAUUAAAUAGAAGUUGAAUUAAUUCUGAUCUAAGACUCUAGAGAAUGUAGAAAAAUGAUUUGAUUAUGUAUACAAACAAUAUUGGAGAUGAGAUAUCAGAUAUGUCAAAAUCAAUGACAAGAACAAUAAUAAGAACAUAUUCUACAAAAGUUAUAAAUACAUAUAAUAUAAAUUUAGUUUCAAAUUACGAAAUUAUGAAUUUGUAUAGUAAAAGAGUCCAAUAGAAAAAUGGAAAUUUUUUAAAAAGAGAUUUGCUUAGGGAAAAACUUUAGCUUGGUUUGGUUAGUGAAGGCUCGAGUAAUUGAAAGCAACGCAAUUGAAGGAAAUACAAACUUCCGCUUUUGACAAAGUAAUCGCUAAAAUGCUAAAAAUGUUGGGAAAAUAGACAAAUAAUGAAGACCCUACAGGUUUGCGGAGCAAAUAAAUAGAGUAAAAUAGAGCAAAUAUUUACCAUUAUACAUUUACUGCAGAAACAAAGUGCCUUCAUAACACCAGUUAAACUGUGUCUAGCUACCAUGCUGGUUCUACUUUUACUUUAUUAAAUAUAUACAGCAUUAAAUCACCUGAGCCUCCAGUUUCUCUAGUUUCCAACUUGAAAUUAAAACGUAGAAUUGAUGGUAAUGGAGUUCCUUAUUUAAUUUUGCUGUAGGUCAUGGGCAAUUAGACGGCCAUCCAUUUUUAUGUCUAUUUUAUGUACUAUUGGCCACUAAGUAGCUUGGAUAUUUUAUACGUAGUUUGAAAUAAGUCAAAAUCAAUUACUAGAACAACAAUAAAAGCAUAUUUUAUAAAGGCCAAAAAUACAUAAUAUAAAUUUAGUUUUGAAUUUUGUAAUUAUUAAUUCAUAUAUUAAGAGAGUCUUAUAGAAAAAUAGGAAUUUUUUGAAAGAGAUUUGCUAAAGUAAAAAAUUUCGUUUGGUUUAGUUUGUGAAGGCUCAAGUAAUUGAAAGCAAUGCAAGUGAAGGAUAUAUGAACUUGUAAUUUUUACAAAGUAAUUGCUAAAAUAUUUGACAAGCUUGAGAUUUUAAAAAGGCUGGGAAAAUAGAAAAACAAUGAAGACCCUACGAGUUGGCAGAGCAAAUAAACAGAGGAAAACAUGACAAAUAUUAUGUUGAUGCACAAUCUUAUUUUAUGUUGAUGCACAAUCCAACUUUUUAACAAAAAUAAUAUUUAAAUUGUCACAAAACGUAUUAUUCUUUAAAAAAAAUUCAUAUACAGUAGUUAAUUUUUCUUUACUCCAGGAUCCAACUACAUACCCCUCUUGUUUGUCGUUAUUCUGCUCAGUCGUUAGAUUUUAAUUACUGUAAAGAAUUGUGGAAAUGCUCAUAUAUUAUUUGUUGCUGUGUACAAGAUCCUUAUAUACAAAAAUACUAGAAUCAUCUAAGGCAAGUACCAAACGGUCAAAUAAUAGAAAAGGAAAGAAUAUAAAGGAGAAUGAAUAUUACAAUAUGCUAAGUUAGUGGCUAAGAUCAAGGACUGAUUGAUUCUUGUUCUAAUACUCCCCCUCAAGUUGGGAAGUGAAGAUCCGUAACUCCCAACUUGCCAAGAAGAUAUUGAAAUUGAUGUUUACCAAGAGCUUUGGUAAAAAUGUCAGCCAAUUGUUGUCGUGAAGGCACAUAAGUUAAGGAAAUGAUUUUGGCAUGAAGCUUUACACGAACAAGAUGGCAGUCUAUUUCUAUGUGCUUGGUACGCUCAUUGAAGAUGGGAUUGGCAGCGAUAUGAAGCGCAACUUGAUUGUCACAAUGUAAAGUUAUAGGCAUUGGAUGGGUCACAUGAAGAUCACGAAGUAGAGUUUUCAACCAAACCAAUUCACAUGUUGUUGUCGCCAUGGCUCGAUAUUCGGCUUCAGCGGAAGAGCGCGAUACAACUGGUUGCUUCUUGGUUUUCCAAGAAAUAGGACUAUUGCCAAGCAUGAUAAAAUAUCCAGUAGUGGAUCGACGGGUCAUGGGGCAACUUGCCCAAUCUGAAUCUGAGAAGGCAGAGAGUUCCAAAGAGUUAGUGGAGGACAAGAGGAUACCAGCGCCGGGAGAAAAUUUGAUGUAACGUAAGACACGCAGGGCAGCAUCAUAAUGUGGUCAUCUUGGAGUGUGCAUAAAUUGACUAAGUAUGUUCACAGCAUAUGUAAUUUAUGGCCGGGUGAUUGUCAAAUAGAUGAGACGUCCUACAAGUCGUCGGUAUUGGUCAGGAUUUUGACAAAGGGUUCCUUGAUCGUUAGAGAGCUUCAAGUUUUGUUCCAUUGGAAAAGAAGAUGGCCGUGUGCCUAAUUGUCCACUGUCUUGAAGUAUAUCUAAAGCAUAUUUCCUUUGAUUGAAGAAAAUCCCUUGCUUUGAGCGAGCCACUUCAAUUCCUAAAAAAGAUUUCAAAGUUCCCAAGUCUUUAAUAUGAAAUUGAGCCUGCAAAAACAUCUUCAAUGCAGUUAUAGUGUCAAGAUGGUUACCAGCAAUUAUUAUAUCACCAACAUACACAAGCACCAAUGUAAAAUGAGAAUCAUGCAUUUUAGUAAACAAACAAGAAUCAACAUAAAAUUGAAUGUAACCAAUUUGUUUAAGAGCGGAUGAGAAUUUUUCAAACCAAUUUCGAGAAGCUUGCUUGAGACCAUAAAGGGACUUGUUUAACUGACAAAAUUGAUAAGACUCCCCCUGUUUACAAACUCCUGGAGGUAAGGUCAUAUAAAUUUCCUCAUGCAAGUCACCAUGAAGAAAUGCAUUAUGAACAUCUAACUGAAAUAAUAACCACCCUCGAAUAGCUGCCAUUGCCAAUACACAUCUAACAGUCACAAGUUUUGCAACAGGUGCAAAUAUCUUAUGGUAAUCCAAACCUUCAGUUUGUGUGUAUCCUUUAGCAACAAGGCGUGCUUUGUAUCUCUCAAUAGAACCAUCAGCUUUUCUUUUAAUUUUGAACACCCAUUUACAACCAAUUGGUUUCUUGCCGGGAGGUAGAUCUUGUAUAGGGAUGGCAAAUUGGUCCAUCCAAAUUGGAUAUCCAUAUAUCCAAUCCAAUUGGAUUGGAUAAUAUCCAUCCAAAAUCUUCUUGGAUAUGGAUAUGGAUAUUUUUAAAAAUAUCCAAUUAGAUAUUGGAUGGGUAUGGAUAUUUAAUGGAUAUCCAAAAUCCAAUUAAUUUAUCCAUUUAAAGUUAAAAAAAUUUAUAUUGUUCAACUAAAAUAAAAAAAAAAUCUAAUUUUCUCUUAUAUUAACUAGUGAAAAAUUUAAAUUUCUCUUAUAUUAAAAACUAAAGUUUUCAAAAUUACCCUUUAAUUUUUUAACUUAUUUAAUACUAUUUAUAAUUGUUAUUUUAUUUUAUUGAUUUAAUAUUAUAAAUGGAUUUCCACCGGAAAGUCACCGGACCACCACCGGAGUUCGCCGGACCACCGUCGGAUAUCGCUGGAAUUACCGCCGGACCUCGGCGGAAAGUCACCAGAAGACCGCCAGACCACCGUUGGCUUCACCGGAAGAUUGCCGGACCACCGCCGGAAUUCGCCGGAAGGUCGCCGGACUUUGCCGGAAAGUUGCCGGACCGCCACCACCGACCACCGGACCGCCAUUUUAUUAUAUAUAUAUAUUAUUACUAAUAUAAAUAGUUUAAUAGCCAAAUUUGAUAUUGAAAUUUUAACUAUUUUAUAUUAUUAUUUUUAUAUAAUUAAAAUAAAAUAUCCAUGGAUCUCCAUAAACUAUAUGGAUAAAAUCCAUAUCCAUGUCCAAUAUUAAAUAGUGGAUAUGGAUAUGGAUAUAUCCAUUAUGGAUAAUUAUGGAUUUAUGUUUAUCCAUCCAUCAUUGGAUAUUUGUCAUCCCUAAUCUUGUAUUGUCCAAGUGUUACUUUGCUCUAAAGCUUUAAUCUCUAUAUCCAUAGCAUUGCGCCAAUGAGCAUGUUGAACGGCUUGAGAAUAUGUAGUUGGUUCAACAUCGUGAGAUAUGGCUGAAAGAAAGGCUACAUGAUCACUAGAAAACUUGUCAUAUGAUAAAUACUUGGAUAAUGGAUAUAAAGAACUUACCAAUAGUGGAUGAUUAGUAAAAGUAUUAGAGUUGCCAAAUGUACCGUGAAGUGCAGUAGAGCAAAUAUAAUUCUGAAGAUAAUUUGGAUGACAAGACUGUCGUUGGGACCGUCGAAGAGGUGGAGAAGGGAGAACUACUGAAUCAGAUGUACCUUGGUGGAGUGGCUGCUCAUUGGAAGAAGUUGGAAGGAGCUGUGCAUUUUCAUUGGCAAGAAGUAUGAUAGGAAGAGGUAAAACAUUGUUAUUUUCUUGUUGAUUGGUGAUAGUUUUGAAUGGGAAUUCAGUUUCCACAAAAGUAACAUCACGAGAAAUAAAAGUCUUUUUGUUAAUGAUAUCAUAAACUUUGUAUCCGGGAUACCCAAAUGGGUAACCAACAAAUAUACACUUGGUAGCACGGGGAGCAAAUUUAUGAUGAUUAGCACUGUUGGUAUGAACAUAACAAAGACAACCAAAGACACGAAGACGAUCAUAGUGAGGUUUAGUCUUAAAAAGCAUUUCAUAAGGAGAUUGACCACCAAGAUUAGGAGUGGGUAUACGAUUAAUCAAAUGGGUUGCAGUUAAAACACAAUCUCCCCAGAAAGAUAAAGGUAAAUGUACUUGAAAACAUAACGCACGUGCAACUUCUAAAAAAUAUGUCGGUGCUUGCGUUCUGCUACCUAAUUUUGUUGAGGUGUUUCAACACAAGUCCGUUCAUGCAAGAUGCCAUGCUCAUGAAAAAAAGAUUGCAUCUGAUUUGAUAAAAAUUCACGUCCUUGAUCAGUACGAAUUUUUUUAAUUUGUGACUGAAAUUGUGUUUUGAUCAAGAAGUAAAAGUUUUUUAAUAAUUGAAAAGCUUCAAACUUGUGCCGCAUGAGGUAAACCCAAGUACAACGAGUAUGGUCAUCAACAAUAGUAAGAAAAUAAUAUGAUCCCGUAUAUGUAGAUGUGCGAUGAGGUCCCCAAAUAUCACAAAAAAUUAAUUGAAAUGGCAUAUCAGAACGAUUUUUAUUCAAUUGAAAUGAACUUCUAGUGUUUUUUGAAAGUUGACAAAUUUCACAACAAGAAUUAAAUGAUGCAAUAUCAUAAAUAAAAGACAAACGCUGCAUUCGGUCUUUAGAAGGGUGACCGAGUCGCAAAUGCCAAAGAUUGGAAUUGGGUUCCUUUGCAACGUUCAUUACUGAAGGAAGGGAAGAAUGACCAUUGAUAUGCUCAUAAUAAUAUAGUACAUCCCGAACUUCACCCUUUCCAAUCAGCUUCUUCGUUGAAAGGUCCUGAAAAACACAAAAUGAAGGGAAAAAUAUAGCAGCACAGUUCAAAUCCUUGGUUAGCUUGCUUACAGAUAAUAGUUAAAAAUUAAAAUGAGGAACUAAUAAGGCAUUAUCUAAAGUCAAAGAGGAGGAUAAUUUAAUGGAUCCACAUUUUGUUGUAGGAACAGUUGUGACAUUUGGUAGUCUCACGGGUUUGACAUGAGACAUGGGCACAAAAUUUUUAAAGGAAGAAAUAUUAGGGUCAUGUGAUCAGAUGCCCCACUAUCAAUUAUCUAAGAAUUAUUAUAUGAGUUAAUAGCAGAAUUGCAAAAAGGAAUGAUUUUACCAGCUAAGUUUACAGUAGAUGGCUGCUUACUUGUUGAAAGUAUAGAUAAUAAAUGUUGAUAUUGUUCAGCCGUGAGACCGGGAAUUUGGAUAGUAGGCUGAGAUGAUGAAUUCUUGUCUUUUGGAAUGGGAUGAUCAUCUAGUUGUUGUGGCUUCGUGGUUGCAGGAGCAGCAACAUGCGAUCGAUUUGAAUGUUUCCAGUUUGGUGGGUAGCCAACAAUUUUGUAACAUUUGGCUUUUAUAUGCCCAUAUUUCUCGCAAUGAUCCCAUAAAGGUCUACCUCGUCCUUGUGUCUCUUGUACUCCAUGCAAUUGGCUAGGAUGUGAAUGAUUUUGACGGCUGGUCAUUUGAGUCUUAUUAUUGGCUGUCAAGGCUGUUGAUUCAAUAGAUGGUUGACUGGAAACAUGGAGAAGUCGUUGACGUUCUUCCUGAUGAAUAAUUGAAUAUGCUUUUCCAACAUUUGGAAGUGGUUCCAUGGCUAAGAUUUGACUUCAUACCGAAGAAUAUGAAUCAUUGAGACCCAUUAGGAAUUGAAACACCUUUUCAGUCUCCAGUAAUCCCUGUAAUUCAUUUGAAGUUUCACACUUGCAAGAAGAAAUAGUGGUUAAUGUGGACAAUUCAUCCCAAUAAAAUUUCAAAGUAUUAAAAUAAAUCACUAAUGAUUUUUGCUCUUGCUGGUGAUUGCAUAUGGCUCUCUUAAGUUCAUAAAUCCGUGGAUUAUUACUUUGUGAAAAACCUUCUUCCAACCCAAGCCAAAGAGAGCGUGGCGUAUCACAAUAGAUGAGGCCAUUGGCAAGAUUUUUCUCUAUUCCAUUGAGCAUCCAUGAAAGGACCAUGUCAUUGCAUCGCUCCCAAGUUUUUAAAUCUUGUGAGGUUGAUGAAGGUUUUUGUAUGCUUCCAUCAAUAAAACCCAAUUUGUUUUUGGCAUUUAAUGCCAUCUUCAUGGAUCUUUUCCAUGUUGAAUAAUUAUCACCCGUUAGCACAUUAGAUACAAGAAUGGCUCCAGGAUGAUCAGAUGAAUGAAGAAAGUAUGGUGAAGAAACAUCGGUAAUGAGGGAAUUUGAUGUUUCUAAUAUUGGAUUCAAACUACUAGACAUGAUUGUCAAAGAGAAAAGCAGAAAUGAGCAAAAUUUGCUCUGAUACCAUGUAAAGAAUUGUGGAAAUGCUCAUAUAUUAUUUGUUGUUGUGUACAAGAUCCUUAUAUACAAAAAUAUUGGAAUCAUCUAAGGCAAGUACCAAACGGUCAAAUAAUAGAAAAGGAAAGAAUAUAAAGGAGAAUGAAUAUUACAAUAUGCUAAGUUAGUGGCUAAGAUCAAGGACUGAUUGAUUCUUGUUCUAAUAAUUACGUUGAUCUAACGGUUGGGAUUUGUAAAUGAAUAACGAAGUGGUGUUUUUGGCUACCGUCUGAACCCAUUGCAUCUAAUUGGUUUUGUGAUUUUUCGCUUUCUUCUCUGCAACGCUUGACUAGUUCUAGAAAUAUCGACAGCAAAUUUGGAGCAUGUAUUAUUUUUCAUUAAAAUAAGUUUCCACCACCGUACCAGUAUAUGGAUUUCUGAAUUAAUUAUUAAAAGAAGCAAACAAUACUGAGAAUAUAUUAAUUAUUAAUUUAUAUAAUAAAAUGUUUGCUUCAAAAUAUACUAUUUGAAUUUGAAAUAAUAUUUUUUAAAAAUUUUAAUAUCACAAUAAUAGUCAUGAUCCAAUUGGUUUGAUUUUUUUUUUUCAGAAAAAAUUUGGAAGAAUAGACAAAUAAUGAAGACACAACCUAAGGAGAGCCAAUAAACAGGGGAAAGUGAAUUGCGUACUGUCCUCGAGCUCUCAAUUAUCCAACAUUCUCAAAUUUCUAUGUACAUUUUCGUAAAUUCAUGUCAUAUACUAGAGCUAGUAUUUUGGGUUUUGUUGCAUUAGUUCUCUGGUGUUUAUCUUGUUUUAUUACCUUAUGAUGCAAGAUUCGUGGUAGCGAUACACCUCGAAUAAAACUAUUUUUGUUUUUUUGGCAUUUUUAUUAGCACAAAUCAUUAUUAAUUACUGAACCCAUCGAGAUAUUGGUUUCAUUUGUAACAACUUGCUAAUUGCUUAAUACAUUUUUGUAAUUCUCGUCAUGAAGUCACAAAGAACCUGCAAAUAAAAGAUGAUUCAUAUACAGGUACAUAUAGAAUAAAGAUAUUUAAACAUAAACAUUCAAUUUUAUGAUAAACCUAACUGUCAUUGAGUUAUUGCUAUUAAAGGAAGUGAACAGAAAUAGAUGUAGAAAGUCAGAAAUAUGAAUGAGUGCACUUGAUGAUUUCUCGAAUAGAAAAUUAAAGUAAUAUCAUUUUUAAUAAAUGUGAGAUGAUUUAUACUCUAGAAUUUAUUUUGAACACUUAUAUUUUUAUUAUGAAAAAUCUCAUAGUUCAAUUUAUUAGUAUGGACAAUUCAAUAUAAGUAAACAGAAUAAUAAUACUUUUGAAACUCAUCUAACCAUAGUGCGCACGCACCCAUAUAAACCUUAAACCAUAAUAAAACGUUCUUCCUCAACAUAAAGACUAAUUCAUUAUUUAAAAGCAUAUAUUAACAAAUUUGUACACACAGAUUCUAUGGUUCUAAUUUCUUUGACUUUAAUUUUUCACUUCUCCACCAAAGGAGGUUCUACACAAAUAAACAACAGCAGAAAAACAAAUAUAAAAUGUGAUUCGUGUGUAGAAGAUAUAUACUCAUCAUAACAAUAACUGAUAAAUUGUAUUAAGAAAUAAAAAUAUUAGUAGUGAUGACAUGAAAGAAGUCUGUUGUCUUCACUUUGACUAAAAAUAAUUUAAAAUAAUCGACCAAGCGAAAUUCCUUAAGAAAUGAACUAGGUUGGGAAGGCAGAGCAGCCUCUGUUCUUUUUACUAUAAUGCUAAGAAUUGACUUCAAUUGGGAAGUCAGGCCAAUUGAAGAAGCUCCCCUGUUUUUCACUGAAUCAUAAUCCGAACAAUUUAUAAUUAAAUAAAUCAUUCAAAAUCUCCUUUAAUCGAACCCCCACUUCUGUGGUUUAAUGAAAUAUUAACGUUCAGCUCCUGAAGUUGCCAUUUUAUGUAUUGAAAAAGAAGAAAAUACAAGAAACUGAAAAUUAAUUGAUGCUGCAUCAUGUUGGAUUGUUAGUUGUUAUUAUGAUGGGGAUAUAAUCUUUGCCUUUUAAUUAUCAUCUAGCUAACGCAAGCCCACUAGUUUCAUUUGUGUCCAUCACUAAAAAGUAGAGUUGUUUAAUUCAAUAGUGUCACGUUACAUCACAUAAAGUCACUCAAUUUUCAUUGCCAUAUGUAGCUCAAAAGUGCAUGAACAUUGAACUUUCAACUAACUUAUAUUGAUUAAUUAAUACGACCAUCAGUUCUUAGUACCCAACAACAUCCAUCAAUAAGAGCAAAAUCCCCAUUAAUUUCAUAAAUAAAAAUAAUAAUAAGUUACAAAGACAAUAUUUGACAAUCACAAAAACAACUAUAAUUCACUCCAAUAAACAACAUAACAGAUACAUUAUCAAUAUUGCAAGUCGUUUUAUGAUUUAAUUAAAAGAGAAAAUAUGAAGGACAUAUUUUUUAUAUAAUUGAAUGUUCUCCUUGAUAAUUAGACAAAAUAACACCAAUCUAACUACCUAAUUCAAUCAUCAUAAUGAUUCAAUUUUCAUUUUUUAAUUAUGUCCAAUCAUGCUAAUUUAAUAAAGAUUACUGAGCACUUAAAGUACCUAUAUCUUCAACAACUUUGGCUAAGUUAGAAAAGUGUUAGAGCUGCAUUUAUGCUUUGUGUUAUUAAGCAGGACAUGAUCAUAUUACGUUGCGUUUUUCCGAAAACUGAAAAUUAUUAAAAAAAAAAUCUGAAAAGAGAUGUUGAAUCGCGAGCUUAAACUGAGUUUUAGACAUGUUUGACUUGUCGGUUGAUAUCCCUGAUUGUGCAUGUGCUGUCGGUUUUUGGACGGAACACAAGAAUAUGACAGCUGUGUGUUGUCGUCUGGAUCACAUGUUCUUCACGUGAUUUCACUUACCCUAUGCGGCACAUUUGGCAGUCGUUUUGGUCACUCAUUGAAGCACGAAUUAAGAACGUCAUUCAAGGUUGUUCAUUGACCUUUACAAGGCGGGAAAAUUCUGGGUUUGUUUUAACAAACCCAGAAUGCAGCUUGUGAGUGGGGGGAACUUUCUAGAUUCUUCAUGAUCUGUGUAUAUAGUCUUAGAGGCUACAGUUGAGGCAUAUGAAAAGCUUGUAACUUCUUCUUAAUGAUUGUAGUUUGAUCUCGGUGAUGGAGAUAAGAUUGCUGCCCUGUUCUUCACUUGAUAUAGGCUAUCUCCAAGCGGAACCACUUAAAUUGUGCCUCUGUUUUGCUUGUUUCGAGGUGUGUGAUUUGCUUGUCAUUUCUAAAUCAUCAAUUAGAGAGUUUAGUGAGAUCUUGGUGGUUUUAGAAUGAGUUUAAUCGAUCAAGAAUCAACAAGAUGCUAUGAAAACAAAAUAAGAGACUAUUGCACGCACAUCAUAGCAAUGUUUCAUUCAUUUCGAAUCUAUAUAUACAAAACUUAUAUCUGGUGGUUUCUGUUUGUUUAAUCUAACGGCUAUAACAUGUAUAUUGUCAAAAGCUACAGCGGCCAACUUUGUUUGUCCUCUUAGCAUCCUUGAUCUUAUAUCAUCCUGGUGAUUCUUGAGAGCUCUUCUCAUUCUCUCGUGUUGAGUCCCUUGCUGAGAUGAUAAAUACUUGAGGGUCCUUCCUUGAUAUAUUUCAGCAAACACUUGAUUCAUUCUAUCAAACAUUUGCAUCACUAAUCAUUAAAUGGUGUAAGAUAGUUCUGUUUUGAAAAAUCAAUAUAAAAUCAAUCACCUUAGAUUUUCUUAGUCUCAGAGCACAAUGGCUGAUGAUUUGAUGAGAAAUAUUAAUAUGCAUGCAUCCCCUGCAUUCGUUAGAGCUGCUCUCAACCUCUGUUUAAUAAGCUAGUCCUCUGCUGUAUCCUAGAAGGUGGAACAUUAUGCUUCCCAGCUGGCUCAAGAGGGAACUAUGCUUCUGCUGCCAAAUUUUUGAAAGCGAACAUCGUGGGAAGAGGUUGAUCUGAAGCCAUUGCAUCUGAUUGGUUUUGUGAUUUUUUGCUUUCUUCUCUGUAACGCUUGACUAGUUCUGGAAAUAUCGACCAUCAUCGAUGGCAAAUCUGGACCAUGUAUUUGCCCACUACUAAGAAAUAAAGUUUCCACCACCGUACCAGUAUGUCGAUUUACGAAUACAUUCAUUCAAAUAUUAAACGUACAGAGAAGAGAGCAAACUGUGGCAGGAUAGCAAAAACUGCGAAUGGUCAUUCCCAACACGAACGCUUAUGGCUGUUUUCCUUUUAAUUUUCUUCUUUGAAUUCUCCUUUUAUUAAUCAUUAGAAAAACUCCCUUUUUUUAAAUCAUGUGUUAUAAACAUUUACAUGGUUAAUGUCAUCGAAAUCAAAUGGUUGUUAUCUACGAAAAGAGAAUUGUUAGAAAUUUUGUAAGUCCCAUUGCAACAAUAUAUUGUUAUAAAUUGCAUUGUUUCCCAUAUAACAAAUAUAAUAAAAUCUCAAUAAAUUAAUAGUUUUGGGGACCAUAAAAAAAUUUAUUAAAAUUUAACAAAUAUCAAUUAAUUGGCAAAUUAAUAAAUUAUUAAUUUAUGAAAAUAUUCAUUAUUUUAGAAAAACAUGAUCACGUUUUUAGUAUUGAUUUACCUUGAGUUAGUAUCUAUUAUGUUUUAUUUGUCUCUAUUAGUUUUCUCUUGGGAAGAUUUUUUAAGAGUUAGCUGCUUUAUAUUAACAGUAAUAAAAUUAUUGUAUGGUUUUGUUUUUCCAUGUUAAAGAUCGAUUAGUCCUCUGCUUCUCCUCAGAGUCAUCGAGCACCGCCUGAAUCAUCAACAACGUGCUCUUCCACUUCAUCAGAUCGUCUUCGAUCUUCUCUUGGCGUGUGUUAAGGAAGUUAAGGAAGCUCAUAUUUGCAGUCAAGCAGAGGAUCACAGCAGCUUCUAUAAUCAGUUGCAAGUUGAUGACAUGUACUGCCAGCUGGCACUAGGUGGUUAUGUAGCUGCUUGUACUUAUACACGUGAUAAGUUUGUUAAUUAGUUUGUAAUUAGUUAGUUAGUUUUGUAACCAUCAGCUGAGAAGCAACACUUGUAUAUAUAUGCUUGUAAUCGUUCAGUAGCAUUUAAAAAAAAAGCUUGAGAAAAUAAAAGAAGAAAGUUUUCUAAAUCUCAGUUUAUUUUCUUAUUAGCCAAACACUCAUUUUCUGUUUUAUAACUUGGUAUCAGAGCCAGUCAUGGCAUCUCUGAAUAUUGCCUCAUCAAAUCACACUUCGAAUAUUCAUACAAACUCAACAAACUUCUCAUUCACAUUCAAUACCCCUGUGAAACUGGAUCAGGCAAACUAUCUGAUCUGGAGGUCCCCAGUUCUAGCUUCCAUACGCGGCAAUAGGCUAGAAAAGUUUAUUGAUGAAAAUGUCACUCCUCCUCCAUCUCAUAUUGCUCAAAGGAUUGACGAUGAACUUAGAUCUGUUGAGAAUCCAGAUUCAUCAAGCUGGAAAGCACAAGGUCAAGUACUUCUUGGCUGGUUGUUGUCAUCGAUGAGUGAAGGUAUUAUAAGUCUGGUGUUUAAUUUGGAAACUUCUCUUGAGGUAUGGAAAGCUAUUGAAACUCAAUUUGGAUCACAGUCAAAAUCCAGACUCUUACAUUUGAGAUAUUUGAUGAAUUCAACUAGGAAAGAUGAUCUGAAAAUCAAUGAGUAUUUCAUUAAAAUGAAGAAUAUUGCUGAUAACAUGGCUGCGGCAGGAAGUGCCUUAAGCAGUGAUGAUUUAAUUUUGCAUGUACUCUCAGGACUAGGACCAGAUUAUAAUGCUGUUGCUACUUAUAUUACUGGUCAAAUAAGUGGUGAUAAAAUGAAUUUAAAUGAGGCUUAUGCUAUGUUGUUGACUCAAGAAGCUAGAAUUGAGCAACAAGCACAUAUGCUUUCUGGAAUGGAUGUUAAGCAUAAUUUUGAAGCUAAUUUUGCUCAGAACAGAGGUUUCAAGAAAGGAAAUUUCUCAGGUGGUAGAGGAUCUGGUAAUCAUGACUAUUUUACUGGAUUAGAUAAUGCUGGAAAUUUUGGAAAUAAUUACAGAAGUGGCUAUGGAAGAUCUGGUUUCUUUGGUAAUGGUUUUGGAAAUAAUCAUAAUAACCAAUUAAGAGGAUUUCAAAGUGAUAAUCAAAGGGGAUCAGGCUCAGGAAAUUGGAACAAUGGUGGGGGUGGUAACAAUAACUCUAUCAGGCCUCAAAUGAAUCCAAAACCUCAGUGGAAUGCUUCUAAACCAACUUGUCAAAUCUGCUUAAAAACUGGUCAUACUGCAAAUGUCUGCUGGAAGCUUGAAGAAUUCUUUACCUCUGGUGCUUGCAAACCUCCUCCAAACAGAAAUCCCAAAGCUGCAUAUCUAGCUGAUAUGGAUGGUGCAGUUGAUGCCAACUGGUAUCUGGAUAGUGGAGCUACACACCAUCUUACCAAUGACAUGAGGAAUAUGACUAUGGCAGAAUCCUUUGCAGGUAACUCUAAACUCAUCAUUGGAAAUAGUACUGGUUUACAUAUAACACAUGUUGGAAAUGCUGUGUUAAGAAUGCAUAACUCUUCUGCUCAUCAUAUACUCAAAUUAAACAACAUGCUUCUUGUUCCACAAAUAUCCAAGAAUCUUAUUGGCAUAUCUCAGCUAACCAAAGAUAACAACAUUGUUAUUGAAUUUACUGAUAAAUCCUGUGUUGUGAAGGACAAGGUGAGGAAUUUGAUCAUACUGCAGGGCAAAGCUGAAAAAGGUUUAUACAGAUUGCUAUUGUUUCCCUCUAAUAAAGUCUCUUCUCAAUCAUGUCAAAGGUCUCUUGAAGCCACUCAAUCCAAAAUUUCAAAUGUUCCUAUGUCUAUGUUUUCAGUUGUUCAGUCAGUUGUCAAUAAUCAAACAAGUCCCUGCUUGCAUACUGCAGCAGAACCUUGUAUCAGUCCAAAUUGUAUGCUGAGUGUUUCUGUUUUGCAUCAGAAACUUGGUCAUCCUAAUUCCAAAGUUUUAAGUCAUGUAAUAAACUCUUGUUCAGCUUUCAAGAAUUUAAAUGGAAGUAACUUUCUUGAUUCAUGUGAUGCAUGUAAAAUGGGAAAAAUGCAUAGAUUACACUUUCCAGUUUCUACUACCAAAACAAAGCAUGUAUUAGAAGUUUUGCACACUGAUUUAUGGGGACCUGCCCCUGUGCUUUCAGUUCAAGGUUACAGAUAUUAUGUGAGUUUUGUGGAUGAUUUUUCGAGGUUCACAUGGAUAUUCCCAUUAAAAACCAAGGAUGAAACACUAGCUGUGUUUAAAAUCUUUAAGAAGCAAAUUGAGAAACAGCUAGAUAGAUCCAUUAAAUGCAUUCAAUCAGAUUGGGGUGGGGAGUAUAGAUCAUUUGUUAAUUUUCUUCAUGAGGAAGGUAUUCAAUUCAGACACUCAUGUCCCUAUACUCACAAUCAGAAUGGCUUAGUUGAGAGAAAACAUAGACACAUAACCGAGCUAGGUCUCACCUUAGUUGCUCAAGCUUCUUUGCCUCUCAAAUUUUGGUGGGAUUCCUUCCAUACAGCCACCUAUAUUAUCGAUAGACUUCCCACACCCAUACUAUCUAUGCAGUCACCUUAUGAAUAUGUCUUCAAAACCAAACCUGAUUACAAAUUUCUCAAGGUCUUUGGUUGUUCAUGCUUUCCAUUCUUAAGGGAUUAUAAUACUCACAAAUUCCAUUUUCAUACCUCAAAAUGUGUAUUUCUUGGUUACAGCCCUUUACAUAAGGGUUACAAGUGUAUGCAUUCUUCUGGAAAGAUUUUUAUAGCCAGUCAUGUGUUAUUUGAUGAAACUUCUUUUCCUUACACAUCAAAUUCACAAUUCUUAACUUCAUCAUUCAAACCCUCUGAUUUCCAUUACAGUCUUCUUCAAUCUUGUACUGUUUCACUUCCCAAUAGCAAUCAAGAAACCUUUGAAGCUAGCUCUGCAGAAAAUGAAGCUCCAUCUCAUCAUUUCAGUGAUCAUUCCUCACCUGACAGUCAUAAUACAACCUUUGAUGUUUCACCUUCUCAAAUACAUCUUCAACCCUCUACCAUAGCUACUUCACAAACACAACAGCCAUCCUCAUCUACUAUUCAAUCCACACAACCAUCCUAACAUCCUCUGCCGAAUCAUCCCAUGAUUACCAGAGCAAAAGCUGGUAUAUUCAAGCCUAAAGCAUUCUUAACAUCACAUAACAGCCUGGAACCAUCUACUGUUGAUGAAGCUUUGUCUGAUUCUAAGUGGAAAGCUGUAAUGCAAUUAGAGUUUGAUGCUUUAACCAGAAAUAAUACCUGGAAUCUAGUACCUAUGACAUCUCAGCACAAGUUGGUUGGUUGUAAAUGGGUCUUUAGAACCAAGUACAAUACAGAUGGUACAGUUUCUAAACACAAAGCAAGAUUGGUAGCCAAGGGCUUUCACCAGGCAGCAUGAGUGGAUUAUAAGGAAACUUUUAGUCCUGUGGUAAAGUCUUCUACAGUAAGAACUAUACUAAGUUUGGCAGUGAUGAAAGGUUGGAAAGUCAGGCAAAUCGAUAUAAAUAAUGCCUUUCUUAAUGGAGAUAUUUCAGAGGAUAUAUACAUGACACAACUAGAGGGCUUCAUCACCAAAGAGGGCUAUGUCUGCAAACUUAGCAAGGCUCUUUAUGGCUUGAAGCAAGCUCCUAGAGCUUGGUAUGACAAACUCAAAGGGUGUCUUACAAGCUGGAAUUUCUUCAACUCCAAGGCUGAUACAUCCUUGUUCAUCAGACAUGACACGAGAGGUAUCAUUCUUGUUCUUAUCUAUGUGGAUGAUAUUCUUAUUACAGGACCAGAUUCUUCCCUGUUGGAAACAUUCAUCACUAAAUUUAGUAAGGUUUUUGCCUUAAAACAUUUGGGAUUGGUAUCCUAUUUUCUGGGUGUUGAGGUGUGUUAUACUGAUAGUGGGAUGCAUUUAUCACAAACAAAAUAUAUUAAAGACCUCUUAAGUAGAGCUUCAAUGCAGAACUGUAAAGGUUCUGAUACACCUCUCAGCACAGGUCAAAAGUUAGAAAAGGUAGCAAAGGUCUGUUUGGGGAAAGAAUUUGAAGAUCCAACUCUCUAUAGAAGUAUUGUUGGAGGGCUCCAAUACUUGAUACUCACCAGACCUGAUAUUGCAUACUCAGUUCAUAAGCUCAGUCAAUAUUUGAGUGCUCAUACACUUCAGCAUUGGCUUGCUUGUAAGAAAGUACUUAGAUAUCUUCAAGCAACUGUCACUCAUGGAAUAUAUAUUCAGAAGGAAGGAGAGCUUGAAGUUACAGGUUUGAAUGGAUACUCAGAUGCAGAUUGGGCUUGUAAUACAGAUGAUAGAAAGUCCAUUGGAGCAUAUUGCAUCUAUCUUGGCAACAAUUUAAUUUCAUGGUCCUCUAAGAAACAAGCCAUAGUGGCCAAAUCCAGCACUGAAAGUGAGUAUAGAGCACUGUCAUCAGCAAGUUCAGAAAUCUCUUGGCUUGAAUCUCUAUUUUCUGAGCUCAACAUUGUAAAGCUGCCAACACCAGUGCUUUGGUGUGAUAAUCAGAGUGCUGGGGAAUUAGCCAAAAAUCCUGUGUUUCACUCCAGGUCUAAGCAUAUCGAGUUGGACAUUCAUUACAUUCGAGAUAAGGUACUUCAAAACCAAUUAGAAGUGAGAUACAUUCCUACAGAUGAACAAGUUGCUGAUGUCCUCACCAAAGCUUUAUCACUUCCAAAAUUCAGCUACUUCAGGUCCAAGCUCAAUGUCGUUAGCAGACCCUUGAGCUUGAGGGGGGAUGUUAAGGAAGUUAAGGAAGCUCAUAUUUGCAGUCAAGCAGAGGAUCACAGAGCAAAGGAUCACAGCAGCUUCUAUAAUCAGUUGCAAGUUGAUGACAUGUACUGCCAGCUGGCACCAGGUGGUUAUGUAGCUGCUUGUACUCGUACACGUGAUAAGUUUGUUAAUCAAUUUGUAAUUAGUUAGUUAGUUUUGUAACCAUCAGCUGAGAAGCAACACUUGUAUAUAUAUGCUUGUAAUCGUUCAGUAGCAUUUAAGAAAAAAGCUUGAGAAAAUAAAAGAAGAAAGUUUUCUAAAUCUCAGUUUAUUUUCUUAUUAGCCAAACACUCAUUUUCUGUUUUAUAACUGCGUGCAAACCACCGAAUCCCCUCUGAAGCUAACUUUGGCGUGCAGCUCUUCGAUGAUUGGCUUUUUUUUUCUUUUUUUUUUGGUUGUGUUUUUUUUUGGCUCCUAGUUUGAUUUAACUUUGUUUCGGUUAUUGACAUUGCUGAAGAGGCAGUAAAAGCUUGUUGAAUGUCAUCAAAUGCACAAAUUGGCAAUAUCGGUUGGCUUCUUUAUAGGCGCAUCCAUCACAAAAUGAAAGUAACAACAACCACCAUCGAAAAUUAAUUUUAAGAAUCUUUUUUACCUGAAAUCUUUGAAAAGAAAAAUUAACCUGACAUUUAUUUAUUUAUUUAUUUUUUGGGGGCAAAGAAAGAAAGGAACAGAAUUAUGAGUUUUGGAAAGGAGAAUGAGAAAAUUGAACAGAUGAGAAAAUGGAUAAUUAACCAGAAUGAAUUUGCGAUUGGUCCAGCAAGCUUAGUAGAAAUCACGCGCUGAUACUUCAUUGACCAAUGACUAAUAAUUUGGCAAUUCACCCAUCACCAGCACUUGGUAAGCAAAACGAAAAUGCUUAGUAAGUGUCAAGGGUCAGGCAAGAUAUGACGUAAAAUGAGGCAAGUCUCCCCACUUGUUGUUCCUUGCAGCUAAGAAAAGAAAAAACAGAGCCCACCACCCAUUAAUAAUUUAGCAAUUCACCAAUCAAUCACCACCACUUGUUACGCAAUUCCAUUAGGUAUUCGUUUGUCAAGCAGUUAAUCCAGUGUCUAUUACCUAGAACCUUCACUUUACAAAUCUUCAUCUCAAAUGCCAAGUUAAAUCAAAACGUUUCUCUCUCACUCUUUCUUUUUAAACUCCGAAAACGUUUCUUUUUAGAAAUAUUUUACUUUAUUCAUGUAAAUAUGUUGUCUAACAAAUAGACACAAUUGAAAUCACUCUAAAGUGCAAAUAAAAAAAAAAAUCCAAUCACCAGUAAUUUAGCAAGCUUCACUUUAUUCCACCAAAGUGUAAAUAAAACCAGGCCUCACCGCCAUUAAUAGUUUUACAAGCUUCACACGCUUGUUGUUGUCUGCUUGACGAACUGGACAUGGGUUCAUCAAGAAUCAAUGAAAGAAUUAAAAAAAAAAAACUGAAAUUUUCGAUUCAGAGUAGAACAGUAAUUAAUGCUAAAAUUUACUCCGCUAACAUUUUCAAGAUAUUGUUCUGUAUAAUUCUACAGCAAAUAAGACUAAGUUUUGGACAUUUUCAAAUUCACUACUUUCACAAGCAAUAUUUUGAAACAUUUUACAGAAUUAGCGAUUAUAUAAAGAGAAAAAUGCAAAGUUGCGUAAUUCUAAUGUUUUUCAGGCUGAGCUGCCUUUGGAUUUAACCUGAAAUGAUCCGAAGGCCAGAAAUUGUAACGGCGGGCUUAAAUGUCAACACGCCAAGACAGUUAAUAGCAGCUAAAUUGGAAAAAAAAAAAAAGGCAAUAGAAGUAUAGAUGGAACAAUUUUUCGCUUAGGUCAUAGGUGCAAGAUGAAACUAAAAAAAGGUGGCAGGCAAUUUUAUCACAGACGCUCAUGAUCGUUUUUUAUUUGGGUCGUCAACUCGCCAUGACCCAUGAUUGAAUUAGAGUGUCUAGAAAGAAAAUUAAUAAAUAACGGUUUAUAUAUUUGGCCGUCGGAAUAUUGUAAGUGAGAAAGAUUAUCUUUUUUUUUAUUAUUAUUAAUUAGGUUAGUAUUUAUGAUUGAGUGACUCAGAGCUGUAUUUUAGAUUGAGAAUCAAUUGUUCUCUCAUACUGAGAGGCUAUAAGAUUGUCGUUAGCUAUUUCAUCGAUAAGAGAACACCCAAAUUUAUUAAAAGAAGAAAUGUAUAAGGUCUCCUUUAUGAGAAAAUGUAUCUGAUCAUUCUUUUUGACUUGAAAAUCUCAUAUAUAAAAACUUAUUAAUAAAUAACAUAAUAUAUAUAAAAAUGAUACUCAAUGAUCCUGUACUAAAACUAUAAUUUACCUGCACUAGUAGUUUCCAUAAUUUUCAAUUCAAAAGUAAGCAGUUGAACGUGCUCUCUCUUCUGGUUAUAGAUAUCAUAUAUAUAAAUUGAAGUAAUCGCGCGACAAGUAGCAAAACAGAUAAUGCACGGAAGAUAAUGAUCAAUGGCUGAAGUUUAAUUUAAUUGCAGAUAAAAUGUCAAUCAAGAUUAAGGUCUACUUACAAUUUUAUUUUAUUUUUUAUGAUUUUCAAUCUUUACCAAAAGAAACAUAUUUAGUGAUCCCUUUUAUCAACUUGCUUUUAUUGACUUUCUUCCAAUAAUAGAAGUGAAAAGAGAAACAAAGGCCACCACCACCAAGUGUUACCGGAUUCUAUAAAGACAAAAUCAGUGCCCAGCAAAACGAAUCCAACUUUUCGUUAUGUGUUGCUUCCUAUUUAGUACAUGCACAUAUAGAUAUAAGAUAUCCACAUGCACAUGCAGCGCGUCUAUCUAAAAUUUUAAAAACAGAAUUAGAAACCUUCUUGAAUAGGAAUAGAAAUACUCUCUAAUACUUCCUAAAAUAAUUAACCCUAAAUAAUUUGUCCUGCAUCACCAAACUCCGGAUUUUACAAAGCACGCAUAAAGGAUAAUAGACACGUUUGAGGUUUUUUUUUUAAAAGAAAAAAAGAUUAUGAAAAUAGACAAAUAAUGAAGACACAAGUUAAGCAGAGCAAAUAAAUAGAGGAGAAUGAAUUAAAUACUAUCCUUGAGAACUCAAUUCUUUAAUAAACUCAAUUUUUUAAAUGCAGGGGUAAACUCAUGUCAUAUACUGUAGUCUUUAAUUUGGGCUUUGUUGUAUCAAUUUUUUGGAGUUUAUCUUGUUUUGUUUUUUCGUUUUUAUAGUGCAAGAUUUUCGGUGGAGAUAAAUCAGGAAUAAGAGUGAAAUCCCAAUCUUAAAAUUUGGGAGAAAUGAAAUGCGAUAUGUUUUUUCAUGAAUAAAACAAUUCAAUUUUUUGUUAGCACUUGUAUAUGUUGCAAGUUAAUUACACCGUCAACACCUGCGGGAAAUUUAUAUAUUUUCUGUCAGCACUUGCAUACGUUGCAAUUUUCAAUGACUUCCAAAUCUUCAUAUCAUGAAUUAGCAGGAUUCAGGUCCGACCAACUCCCCGUGGCUAAAGCAAAGGAUUAAUUUUUGAGAAAUUAUAAAGAAAUUAAUACAAGUAAAGUGAGCCUAUUCAUUUGAUUUGAUAAUUGGCUGAGGGUGAUUUCGAUAACGUUUUCAAAGAAGAUAUAGAACAAAGAUCAAAAAGAAAAAACAAGUAAUUUCAGUCGAUGGAAGAAAUGAGCAAGCUUCGCACAUGCAUGCAUGCGUCUGACUAACAGGACAUGGCUUGGAGCAAGGAUCAAUGGACAAGUUUGAGGUUUAUGAAAUAUUGGGAAAACAGACAAAUUAUAAAGCCACUUGUUAGAGUGCAAUUUAUGCACUAGUUUUGCAUUGUUUACUUCCCUUAAUAUCGAUGUUUUGCAUUUAAUAAUAGUGAUUUACUUGUGUUUUACUUUUGUAGGUGCAAUUCUAUUGAUUGGUGAUAAAAUUGAGCUAUAAGAUGAUGUUUAAGGAUGAUUGUUCUCUUGGAGAAAUUAUGAGCGGCAGAAGAACUUUGUUGAUAAGGCGUGGGCGCGUGCUGUCAACUGCGGACCUGCAGUUUUUAGUUUAACGUGUUUUGUAUUUUUGGCUAUUUUUUAAUUACGAAUUUAAUAUUUCAAAUAUUAGUAUUUUAUUUUAAAUAGAACUCUAAAAGAGAAGAGAGAGAGAGUAUUUAAGGGAGGAAUCUAUUGUGAAAAAGGAGGGAAUUUUGAUUGGAGAAAAAGAAAAGAAACCCUAGAUCUAAUUUUUCUCUUCUCUCUAUGAAGAACUAAACUUAUUUUUCUGGUUGAAGAAUAAUGAAGCUUUGAUUCAUCACUACUGUGAGAUCUUUCUUGUGCUUUAAUUGUUUUAUUGCUUUUUGGGUAUUUGUUUAUUCUCUGAAUUAUUUUCAUGAUUAUGUUUGUUAAUUAGAUAAUUGGCCACUAUUUAAUUAUCAACUUAAUCUAUUGUCAAUUAAAGGAUUCAUCGUAUGAAGAAUUUAAUGUUUGUGACAAAUAACAUAGCAGAGAGUUGUGUUGUGAGAAUAAACAAUCUAAUUUAAAUAAAUCAUCAUAUGUGUUGAUUAGGAUUUGGGUCUCUCUGGUUUUUUAGGCUGUCAAUUGAUUAAAUCCUAUGAUCGUAUCUAGGGUUGUCUAUUGAUUAGGGAAAUAUCCAACGGUCGUACCUUGGUUAUCGACUAAUUAAGGAGAGAUUGGCUAUUAGAGGGUCUCAGUAGCUAUAACCAGUCUAUUCAUAAGUAAUAAUAAUUUAUAUUUGAAUCAAUGAUCAGUAGUCGAAUCAAGCUGAGUUAAUUCCUUCAACCAAAGCUUUCUCCAAUUUGAAUCACAACUUUAAUUUACAUUCUUGUUAUUUUAAUUUGAUUUUUAUUAUUGUCAACAAUUCCCCCAUUUUACAUUUUACGUUUCAAAAGGAUUUAAAUAAUUACCGAUCUCUGUGGACACGACCCUGCUCAAUCACUAUACACAAUUUAUUUAGAGUAGGAAUUUAUUUUUGUUGGCUUCGACAACCAUCAAAUUUUGGCGCCGUUGCCGGGGAUUGGUGUCAUUUAUUUAAUCCUUUUUACGUUUUACUUGGUGUAUGGUUCGUUCUUCUCGUACAGGUACACUUUCGUUUGAUCCUGAAAUUGAGAAGACAGCUCGCCAGCUGAGACAGCAGACGAAGCGAGCUAAGCAACGAUCCUCGUCGCCUUUGCUUUCUGAAACAGAUACGGUGCCUGAUUUAGUUCAAUCAUCUAGCGAUUCGGAAGAACAAGUGAUGAAUAGAGCUGCACCUGUAGAAAGAACUCUUAGAGAGUUAGCUGAACCAGACUUGAAUCAGCAACCACUCUGCAUUCAAUAUGUAGACUUGGAGGUAAAUUUUGAAUUAAAGUCUGGUUUUAUUCAUUUAUUACCCAAGUUUCAUGGUUUUGCAGGUGAAGAUCCUCAUAAACAUCUUAAGGAGUUUCAUGUUGUAUGUUCAAGUAUGAGACCACAAGGCGUGACUGAAGAGCAGAUUAAGCUGCGUGCUUUUCCGUUCUCUGUAGAUGGGCUAGCUAAAGAUUGGUUGUACUACUUGCCUCUUGGAUCGAUUACAACGUGGAAUGGUUUGAAGAAGCAGUUCCUCGAGAAGUACUUUCCUGCUUCAAGAGCUGCCAACAUCAGAAAAGAUAUUUGUGGGAUCAGACAACUUCCUGGGGAGACUUUGUAUGAGUAUUGGGAGCGAUUCAAACAAUUGUGUGCCAGUUGUCCUCAGCAUCAGAUUUCUGAUCAACUUCUUAUUCAAUAUUUUUACGAAGGACUGUCAUUGAUGGAUAGGAGUAUGAUAGAUGCUGCUAGUGGAGGCGUGUUAGUGAACAAGACCCCUACUCAAGCAAGGGAGUUGAUAUCAAAUAUGGCUGCCAACGCACAACAAUUUGGCAGCAGGCAAGAUCCUACUUCAAGGAAGGUGAAUGAGGUAAAUAUUUCUUCUGUUGAACAACGUUUAGAUAAACUUACUUCUCUUGUGGAAAAGUUUGUUGUAGGCAAUGUGCAACAGGUGAAGACUUGUGGCAUUUGUUAUAAUAUGGGUCAUUCAACUGAUAUGUGUCCUACACUUCAAGAAGAACCUGUUGAACAAGCCAAUGUAGUUGGAGGAUUUCCAGGCAUGCCUCAGAGGAGGUAUGAUCCUUAUGCACAAACAUACAAUCCGGGAUGGAAGGAUCAUCCCAACUUCAGCUAUGGAGUUAGGCCGUCAGGAUUCCCACAACAGUAUCCACCAAGACAACCAGCACCUCCACAGUCAACCUCCAAGUCAGGUAUAUCUCUUGAAGAAAUUGUUAAAUCGCUUGCGACUAAUACUCAACAAUUUCAGCAGGCAACUACAGCAAGCAUUCAGAACUUGGAGAACCAAAUGAGUCAAUUGGCGACUACAGUGAGCCGUCUGGAGUCUCAAGUAUUAGGGAGAUUGCCUUCACAAUCUGAGGUGAAUCCAAAGCAAAACGUUAGUGUUGUCAUCCUUAGAAGUGGGAAGGAGUUGCAAGAGCCUAGUAAGAAAGUGACAGAGCAUGUAGAAGAUGAGCUUAAGAAGAAUGAAUUGAUGCCUCAAUCUCAAGAUGCACAACCCACCAGAGUGAAACCCCUACCUAUUGUGAUACCUCCUCCUUUUCCAAGCCGGUUUGCAAAAUCCAAGAAGGAGGAACAAGAGAAAGACAUCCUUGAGACAUUUCGCAAGGUUGAGGUAAAUAUUCCUUUAUUAGAUGCUAUUAAACAAAUACCUCGAUAUGCUAAAGUCCUUAAGGAACUGUGCACCUCUAAGAGAAAAUUAAGAGGAGAUGAAAAAGUUCAUAUGGGGGAGAAUGUUUCAGCAGCUCUCCAAAAGAAAUUACCUCCCAAGUGCAAGGAUCCAAGUAUGUUUACUAUCCCUUGCAAAAUUGGUAGUGUUAGAGUCGAGAAGGCUAUGUUAGAUCUAGGAGCUUCUAUUAAUGUCAUGCCUCGUUCCAUUUAUUCAUCUUUGAAUGUUGGUCCAUUAAAAAAAACUGGCGUGAUAAUUCAACUAGCUGAUAGGUCUAAUGCAUAUCCUGAUGGGGUAUUAGAAGAUGUCUUAGUACAAGUUAAUGAGUUGGUUUUUCCUGCUGAUUUUUAUGUACUUGAUAUGGAAGAUGAUAACUCCUCUAAUUCUGUCUCAAUUUUGCUAGGAAGACCUUUUCUUAAGACUGCUAGAACUAAAAUGGAUGUACAUAAAGGGACUCUCACUAUGGAGUUUGAUGGAGAGGUUAUAGAAUUCAAUAUGAAUGAUGCCAUGAAAUAUCUUAGUGAGGAACAUUCGGUAUUUUCUGUGGAUGUUAUUAACCCUAUAGUGCAGGAAGUUUUUUACAAGAAAAAAACGAAGACAUUUCAUGAUAGAAUGAUUUUGAGAAAGGAGUUCUCUGUUGGUCAAAAAGUUCUUCUUUUUCAUUCUAAGCUUAAACUUUUUCCGGGUAAAUUACGUUCUUGCUGGGUUGGACCUUUUAUUAUUACUAAUAUUUUUCCUCAUGGUGCAGUUGAGAUUCGGAGUCCGACCUCUGACAAAGUUUUUAAGGUUAACGGUCAUCGCUUAAAACCUUUUUAUGAAGGUUUUUCGGUGAAUAUUGUGGAGGAUGUGGCUCUCGAGAGUCCCAAUUAUGGAGAUUGAUGCAUAAAUGUGUCUAGCCAAAGACAUAAAACAAAGGCGCUUUUUGGGAGGCAACCCAAAGGAUUUAUUUAUUUUGACUUUUGUUAUAUCUUUUAUUUUUAAUUUAGAUUUAGAUUUUUUUUUAUAAUGUUUUUGCUUAUUUUGGUCAGAAGAAAAUUUUUGAUAAGGCGUGCCCACGUCUUAACUAAUAAGUACUUUUGUGAUUUUUAAAGUAAAAUGGUUUUAAGGCGUGCCCACGUCCUUAUUAGAAAAGUACUUCUGAAAUUCUUUGUGUCUCAAAGUGAUUCAUCACUAAAAAAAAAUUAUUUAUUUAUUUGAAAAUUAAAAAAAAGGAAAAAAAAACUUUUUUUUCCUUUCUUUUCUUGCUUUUUUAUAUAUAUUUUUUUAUUUGAAAAAAAAACGAAAAAAAAUUUACUGUUCAUAAAAUCCCUAAUUCACAGAAUUGGUUUUCUUCUCCAGCUUUCACCGACCAGCCCACGCAGCAGCAGCAGCACGCAGAACCAGCGUCAGCCCAGCCCUCGCGUGCAAUCAACCCCAGCACGCAAAUCCAGCAGCCCACUAGCGCAGCAGGACCAGCCCCAGCAGCGCACAGCAGAAUCAGCCCCAGUGCACAGCAUCCCGCACGCAACCAGCGUCACCAGCGCGCAACCAGCAAUCCACCAUCGGGCCAAGCUCCAGCCGAGCAGUAAUCGUCCGCAACCAGCCUACGCCCUUAUUCCAGCCGGGUGAAUCGAAAUCCGUGAGUGAAAUUAUUGUAACAAUGCCGAAGAGGAAAGCAUCAACUUCCAAGUCAUCUAAAAAGACACCCGUCGCAAAGAUAUCCAAGAUUGCCGCUCUCAUUACAGUUUCAUGGAACACAGUUUCAGAUUCACGCCGAGUCGUGAGACAAAGAUCGAACCAUGGAAAAGGCAUGAGUGUUUUGCCACUUGCGGAAUCCAAUCUCGGAGGGUGCCUUGAAUUUACGACUCAACAAGAGAAAGAAAGUUUACUGAACCAGGACCCACUCAACCUCCAAAGAAGCUUUAUGCUAGAAGUGGUGCUACCUCUGAUGACGAGUUUGACGACGACACUGCUGCCCCGCCGACUAUUCCUUCUACAUCCACACCACCUUUGAGCAUUCAGUUAGAGAAAAUGGAGCCCAAGUUGAACAAGAUGGAGCAGAAUUUGGCCGCAUACUUCAAGAGUGUAGGAUUUAUCCCACCAUUUCCGCCAAGCCCAUAGACGUUAUGAGGAUCAAAGCUCACAAUUCAGGGAAGUUUUUGCCUUUAAUCUUUUAUCCUUAUGCUUUAAUUUUUAUGUGAGCUUUGAUUAUCUUACAUUGGGGACAAUGUAAGUUCUUGGUGUGGGGGAGGGAUUUUUGCAUUAUUGAUGUCUGGAAGUAUUAUUUUCACUCUACUAAUCUAUUUUCAUUCUACUCAUCCUUAAAUGAUUUUGGAGUUAGUAUGCUUCAUAUAUUAUUAUUUUUCUUUUCUUUUCUUUCUCACUACUCUUUUUCCAUCUAUCUCAAAUUAUUUACAUCUAUUUUUAUUCUAUCAUACUCUUUCAUCACUCACAUUUUAUCUUUCACUUUUCAUAUUACUACAUACAUCUUUCUCACUUCUUAUCAUUUUUACCUUUACUUCACUCAUACAUUCUUCUCAUUCUACACCACUAUUGAUGGUUGAUUCAUUUGAAGAGUGUACAUGAUUUGAUGGCAAAUUUACCAACUUUGUGAGGAUUUGAGCCAAUGAGCAACCACUUUGCUCUAAUUAUUUUUGUUAUGUGAAUAUCAAUCUUAGUUUGUUUAUUCUAGAACUUGCUUUGUUAUGCAUGUUGAAGCCACAUUACGGGAUUUUUUGCAUUAAAAUGAUAAGGGCAAACCAUUUGCCAUUUUUCUAUUCUCGCAUUUUCCUUUUUCUCUACCCGAAGACCUUUAUUUGCUACCUUUGUUUGAGCCUUAACCAUUACCCAUCUAAUUCUCUCCGUCUACUUAACCAUUUUUCUUCUUUUUGAGCCUCAAUUUAAAGAGAUUUUUGGACUCAUUGUGUGGAUAUAUUUUGUUGCUUUUUCUACCUUGUAUUAAAGUUUCUCAAUUAGAUCAACAAGCAUUAUGCUUGAAUUAAAUUGUGCAAGGUUCGUUUCUUUUGUUUGAUUAAAAAACAAAACAAAAAAAAAGAAAAAAAAGAACAAAAAAAAAAGAAAAAAAAGAAAAAAAAAAGAAGAAAAAGAAAAAUAAAAAAAAAGAAAAAAAAAGUUUACAUUCUUGGUGACUUGAGUAGAAAUAAGCAUUUUGAUAUCACAAGUUCAUUCAAUGAGUUCAUUCUUCUCAUUUUAAUCUCUUUUUCUUUCGUAAACCUUUCUUUUCCAUUCAACCUAUUUAACCUCAUUACAACCCUUAGAUUUUUGCAUUUUAUUCAUGUUUUGUGGAUUGAGAUGUGAUAUAUGAGCAAGCUUAUGGUAAUAGCAUUCUUUGAUUUGAUUUGAGUGCAUAAAUGAUACCCUAAACACUUUGAGUGCAUGGAGUGAAGUUAUUGAGAGGGCUAUUAAAUCUUGUUGCACUUGAAUUUUGAAUGGAUCCUCUUGGUGGUUGAAUGUUCUUAUUCUAUCUUAUGAAAUUCUAUGCUCUAAAAUCCUUGUCUCUCGAAUGUUGAUCGACUUAAUUUCUUGAGGUAUGCUUGCUUAAAAUUGUUUUUGGAUGAGUUGAGAUGAGAAUUGAGUGGAGAUUUGAGAUUAAUCUUGAGUUAUAUGCUUGAGGACAAGCAUCAUCUUGGUGUGGGGGAAUUUGUUAGAGUGCAAUUUAUGCACUAGUUUUGCAUUGUUUACUUCCCUUAAUAUCGAUGUUUUGCAUUUAAUAAUAGUGAUUUACUUGUGUUUUACUUUUGUAGGUGCAAUUCUAUUGAUUGGUGAUAAAAUUGAGCUAUAAGAUGAUGUUUAAGGAUGAUUGUUCUCUUGGAGAAAUUAUGAGCGGCAGAAGAACUUUGUUGAUAAGGCGUGGGCGCGUGCUGUCAACUGCGGACCUGCAGUUUUUAGUUUAACGUGUUUUGUAUUUUUGGCUAUUUUUUAAUUACGAAUUUAAUAUUUCAAAUAUUAGUAUUUUAUUUUAAAUAGAACUCUAAAAGAGAAGAGAGAGAGAGUAUUUAAGGGAGGAAUCUAUUGUGAAAAAGGAGGGAAUUUUGAUUGGAGAAAAAGAAAAGAAACCCUAGAUCUAAUUUUUCUCUUCUCUCUAUGAAGAACUAAACUUAUUUUUCUGGUUGAAGAAUAAUGAAGCUUUGAUUCAUCACUACUGUGAGAUCUUUCUUGUGCUUUAAUUGUUUUAUUGCUUUUUGGGUAUUUGUUUAUUCUCUGAAUUAUUUUCAUGAUUAUGUUUGUUAAUUAGAUAAUUGGCCACUAUUUAAUUAUCAACUUAAUCUAUUGUCAAUUAAAGGAUUCAUCGUAUGAAGAAUUUAAUGUUUGUGACAAAUAACAUAGCAGAGAGUUGUGUUGUGAGAAUAAACAAUCUAAUUUAAAUAAAUCAUCAUAUGUGUUGAUUAGGAUUUGGGUCUCUCUGGUUUUUUAGGCUGUCAAUUGAUUAAAUCCUAUGAUCGUAUCUAGGGUUGUCUAUUGAUUAGGGAAAUCGACUAAUUAAGGAGAGAUUGACUAUUAGAGGGUCUCAGUAGCUAUAACCGGUCUAUUCAUAAGUAAUAAUAAUUUAUAUAUGAAUCAAUGAUCAGUAGUCGAAUCAAGCUGAGUUAAUUCCUUCAACCAGAGCUUUCUCCAAUUUGAAUCACAACUUUAAUUUACAUUCUCGUUAUUUUAAUUUGAUUUUUAUUAUUGUCAACAAUUCCCCCAUUUUACAUUUUACGUUUCAAAAGGAUUUAAAUAAUUACCGAUCUCUGUGGACACGACCCUGCUCAAUCACUAUACACAAUUUAUUUAGAGUAGGAAUUUAUUUUUGUUGGCUUCGACAACCAUCAAAUAAACAGAGAAAAUAACCGAUCAAUUCUUUGUGCAGUGGCCACAGCAACAGCGAAAAUAUGUCUGCAUGACUACAUUAAUUAAUCCUACCAUCACCAUGCAACAUUAAAUCAACAUUUGAUCAUCUAUCAAUUUUCAUGAUAUGAGAUUAGAAACAUUGAGUUCAUAAUUUCGUGUAAUUUCAUGUACUAGAUGUAUAUAAUUGAUUUGAGUUAGUUUAACAUCUAAAGAAAGAGUAAUGGGGAAUGAUGUCGAUGUGGCAUUUGAUGAGUAAUGAUAGACAACAAAUACUGAUCAUGUAAGAAUGAAGUCUGUAUUUACUGAAAAAUAUUUGGCAAUAAAAUGAUGCUUUAAAAAAUUAAUAUUAGUUGCACGAAAAUAAAUUGGCAACUAAAAUUAAUAGAUAUAUAUCCAAUGCUUCGAGUUUAUUUUAUCACUUCGCUAACAAUUUUGUAACUACAUUUUAAUUAUAAUGUCGAAAAGAGAUUUGAUUUUUGUAUUAAAAAAAAUUAGAAAUGAAACAAGUCAAAAUCAAUCAUAAGAACAACAAUAAGAGCAUAUUUUAUAAAAACCACAAAUACAUAAUAUAAAUUUAGUUUCGAAUUAGGUGAUUAUUAAUUUACAUAGUAAGAGAGUCUUAUAGAAAAAUAGGAAUUUUUUUAAAAGAGAUUUGCUUAAGGAACAAAUUUAGUAAAUUAACAAUCACCAAAUAUGGUAGGGUGGCAGGCAGAGGAAGCGUGGUUCCUAAUCCUAAUCUUGAGUGAUAACUGGCUAUGUAACAUGUGGCAUUCUACAUUCUUGCAAUGCCAUUAAUUUCUUGUUAUGGCAGCAGCGUUCUUUCAUCAUGGCAUCACAAGCAAAUGUUUGAUUUGAAGACUUGCUUAGCUGAGAAAAAUAAGGAGAGCAAAGGUAAUGAAUUUUGGUGUGAUAAAUAUUUUUAUGGAUGUACUAAGAAAAAUAAAGAUAAUAGAAGUGAUGUUAUUGAGGAGCAUUUUGAUAUUUACCAAAGUGUUCAAAGAAAAAAGUUAUUUUUUGAAAUCUAUUUGCUGGUGCACAUAACAAAAGGGCAUUCUGAGUAAAUUUAAAACUACAAAUAGUUUCACUCUUUUAACAAUAUUCUUCAAUUAAUUCUGUUUAUUUCAAAAUAAAUAUUCUAUCUCUUUAUUACUUUCUAACUAGUCAUGCUAAUAUGCUAAUAAUUAUGAAGAACUAGUGUAAUUUAUAUGAUAUAAGAAGCCCUUUAGCACAUUAACCCGAAUUUAGCUAAUACAUGUGCCUAAUAUAGCGAAAUCAACAUUCAGCGCAUUAGAGUGCCAUUAUAUAUAUUGAGAGAGAAAUUAACACAAAAAACUGAAUAUUAAUUGACACUGGAUCAUAUUGGAUUGUCAGUUGUUAAUUAUGAUGGGAAUACAAUCUUCAUCUUUUGAUUAUCAGCUAGCUAAUGCAUGUGCACUUUCAUUUGUGUCUAUCACUGAAAAGUAAAGUUGCUUGAUUGAGUAGUAUCAUAUCACAGGAACUCCAAACUCAAUUUCAUUGCCGGAGCAUACCAUGCCAUAUGUAGCUUAAAAGUGCAGCUAUCUUAUACUAAUUAUUUAAUACGACUAUUAGCUCUUUAUGAUUAAUUAAAAGAGAAAAUGUUUGACAAUCACGAAAAUAAUAACAAUUCACUCCUAUAAACAACAUAACAAAUACAUGGUCUAUAUUGCAAAUCUUUUUAUGAUUAUAAUUAAAAGAGAAAAUACGAAGACAUAUUAUAUAUAAUAAUUGAAUGUUCUCCUUGAUAAUUAGACAAAAUAACACCAAUCUAGCUAAUUAAUCCAAUCAUCAUACUAAUUCAAUUUUCAUUAUUUAAUUAUGUCCAAUCAUGCUAAUUUAAUAAAGAGCACUGAACACUCGAGUACUUAUAUGUUCAGCAACUUUGGCCGAGUUUGAAAAAGAUUAGAGCUGCAUUUAUGCUUUGUGUUAUUACUUACGACAUGAUCAUAUUAUGUCGCAUUUGUCAGAGAACCGAAAACUGUGGGGGGAAAAAAAAUCCUAAAAGAGAUGUAACGAAAACAAAAUGAGAAAAUAAUGCACACACAUCAUAGCAAUGCUUCAUUCAUUUUGAUUCUAUCUAUACAAAAACUUGUAUCCGAUGGUUUACAUUUGUUUAAUCUAACGGCUAUAACAUGUAUACAGUCAAACGCUACUGCUGCCAUCUUUCUUUGUCCUCGUUGUAUCCUUGAUCUUAUAUUAUCCUGGUGAUUCUUGAAAGAUCUUCUCAUUCUCAUAUGCUGAGUCGCUUGCUGGGAUGAUUAAUACUCGAAGGUCCUUCAUUGAGACAUUUCAGCAAACACCUGAUUCAUUAUAUCAAACAUCUGCAUCACUAAUCGCUAAAAGAUAUAAAAUAGUUCUGUUUUGAAAAAUUGAUAUAAACCAGUCACCUUAGAUUUUCUUAGUCUCAGAGGACAACGGGUGAUGAUUCGAUGAGAAAUAUUAAUAUGCAUGCAUCCGCUGCAUUAGUUAGAGCUGCUUGUCAUUUUCUUCUUUCUUUUGGAUACUAUUUUAAAUUUUUAAUCAGUCUAAUUCAGCUGUAUGUUUGCUUUCAGUCCAAAUCGAACUCAGAUAUUAAGUACUUCUACAGGAAUGGACGCACCCAAAAAUCUAUGGGAUCCGUAGUUCUUGCAGAAGCGGCAGAAUGCUGCCAGCAAUUCAGGCAGAUAGAAGCUUGGUUGAGUGGUUGUUCUUCAAUGUGAAAUUCUACAUAAUGGGGAUCCUUUCAAUGGGGUUUAAAUUCUUUUUUUUUUUGAGUUGUUGAUUUAGAGCAGAUUAAGUAACAUGUGGCAUUCUAUAUUCUUGCAAUGCCAUUUCUUGUUAUGGUAUCAACAUUCUUGACCAUGGUUUGAUUUGCGUAAUUUUGCUUUCUGUUUUUGAUAUUUUCUUCGCAUUGUUGUUGUGGGAUUUGUAGAUAGUGUAUAUGUAUGAAGAUAACGUAAUAAAGUGCUUUUGAUAAAUUCCCCUGGUUUGUUUACUUCACUAAUUCAUUAAUGAGCAAGUCCUCUAUAGAGCUGUGUUGUGCGUACAAGUUUUGCUACAUGAAAUCGUUAGGUGAGGAGAAUUUUUAAAAGCAUACAUCAAAGUAAUGAUUAAAGGGACAAAAUCAACGUAAAUAUUGAUUAUCUUGAGUUAGAUUAUACAAAGAUGAAAUAAUGAUAAUCUAAUAAAUUUAUCAUAAUACACUACUCAAAAAUGCAUUUUAAUGACACAAAUUUUAUGACAUACAUCUUUAUGUCAUGAAAAUAUUUGCAUGAUGUAUAAUGCUUUCGUGAUUAUUUGAUGAUAAAUUCAUAAUUGCUGCUGAUAUGAAAUGAAGUGAUGAUAGGUAAAUAUUAUGCGAUUUUUUUUUUAUGGGUAAGAAUAUUUGAACCCACCAAAUUACUCUUUAAACUUAUUUUUUUAUUGAUAAUUUUAUUACAAAAUUACCGAUAAUUUGAAUUACUAUUACAGACAAACAAUAAUUAUAUAAAAUUAUUUUAUUUUUACUCAUUGUUUAAACCUACCGCAAAACUCAAUCAAAGUAUGCCUUUUUUUUUCUUCUGCAAGUUUUUAAUAAGUUCAUCCUUCAUCCACAGUUGAGAACUUUCUAAUUUUUUUUCUUGUUCUAGUAAUUUGGAUAUGCUGUGUUAGAUACUGAAUUUAUUAAAUUUCUUCUUCUCUUUUGAAUAAAAUCUCUUUAAAAUUCAAUUCAUAAAAAAAUAAAAAAUUAAUCUCCUUAUAAUUUAAUAUGUUUCAGCUGUCUUAGUGGAAUGAUGCAAUUUGUUUCCAUCAAAGUUUUGAAGCAUCCUGAAAUUUUGAGAUCGACAUGAUAACAAAUUAAUUUAAUUCAUGGUGUACUCUAAAUUUUCAGCCACAAAAAAAAUAGCCAAAUUGAAGUGUACCUGGGCAAGAAGAAACUGCGAUUAUACAAUUUCAGUGUUCGACUCUAUCAAUAAAAAAGAAAAUAAAAAAGAACUCUCAUUGUUCCAUUAUUUUUCCCAUAAAUAAUGAUAUACAGAGAAUUUAGUUUGAUAUGGGAUAUAAUAAGUAUUUAGGUGAGUUUAUAAAGUAAAUUUUAAAAUUUUAAAAUUUAGUAAUGGGUUUAUAAAUAAUUGAGUUCAUAUAAUAUUUUAAUAAAUUCAAAUAACCCACCCUUUUUUUUUUUAAAAAAAGAUCUAAUUACAAAAAUACCAUUCCAAUCGGCAGCAUUUUAUAUUUUAUUUUAUUAAAUAUUAUUUUAUUUUUAAAUUACUAGUGACGCAAGAAACGGCAUCAUUUAUUGAUAUUUUUAAAUUGUUUAAGAUUUGUUUAAUUAGAAAAUUGCCAUUGUUGAUAUUUAAUUAAUUUUAAAAAAUAAAAAUAAUAAAAUUGGUAAGCUCUACUCCAUAAGUGAUGAACGAAUUGACAAAUUUGCAGUAAGUGAUGAACGAAUUGAUAAGCUCUACUCCAUCGGCUCCUUAAUUGAGAAAAAACCCAAGCCCGUGCAGCGCAGCCUCACAAUUGAUAGAGACCCUAAGCCACCAAACUCGACAAUCAUCACUCAACGUCGUCGCAAGCUACCGGUCGCUCAACAAGCACCAGUUCCUUGCUCUACAGCCAUCGCUCAACCGCUGCCAUUACCUGUUAAUUAUUCGCUUGAAUUAGGGUUCUGAUAUUUUGGGAUUUUUUGUUAGUCGUGGAAUUAUGAAGCAAGGACGACGAUGACGAAGAUGUGGUGGUUGACGACGGCAAUGGCAACGUUGAAUAUUGAGGCACCGGAGGAAAAAGCAUUGGCUAUGUAUCUUGGUCGAUUUGCCUCGAAUUGAUCACUAAACAUGGGGAUAUCGUGGGCCGAGCUUCAACGCAGUGGCAAAUUUCAUUUGGGUAACUGAAUUUUUUUUUUGUUUAAUUUGUUUAGAGUUCAAUUGUUUAGAUCUAGGCUAAUUUUUAAUGAUAAUUUUUAUGAUUAAAUUAUAUGAGUAUGCUUAAAUUUUUUUUCCUUCAAAUUUAUUUUCUGAUGUUGCAUUUGGUUAGCAAAAAGAUAAAAAUAGUAGAAAAUGUCAGAAUUAUUGUUAUGAAAAUGUUGUUUUAGUCUGAUAUUGGGAAAAUAUCAUUAUACAUAUUGGCAUGAUAUUCAUGGGAGACAAAAUUGAGAAUGAUGACAGACUAUGCAUUGCUCACAACUAAUUUAAAACUCACUAUUUCUAUUGUUUGUGUUUCAGUAACUUUGGGGGAAUUCCAACUAUAGUUAAUAAGCUAUAAACUUGUUUAGGAUUGCUGAUCAAUUUGCUAGAAAGAGUUGCAAAGUAAUUAGCUUUCUCUUAUAACUUUUACAGAUCAUCUGUGGAGGAGAACUGCAAGGAGUUGAAGACUCUAGACCCUAAACUUCAUAUCUUGAUUUAUAAGUGCAAUGGGCAUAAGUCCGAAUUAUGGGCUGGAGAUGGUAUAUGUAAUCUUUCUACUCUUGGUGUUUUUUUUUCCUCUAGUUAUUUUUUGUUCUCUACUCCAUUGUAUAUUUGUAUUCAAAAGUAUUUUUUCUUUGUUUUAAGCUUUUAAAUUUAUGGAGAUGAUCUUAUUAGGUGUUAAAAAAAAUAGUUGUAGAGCUUUACUAAAACUAUGUAAACUCCUAUUGAGAUUUGGGUUUGAUUUUGUAAGAUUGCUAAAAAUUUCAUAUUUUAUACUUGUUUUAUACUUUUCUAGUUGAAUUUCUUGCUUGUGGAAGAUAAAAUAAAAGUCCAAUUCAUGUUGUAAAAUUUUUUUUCCUCCCUUCUUUCUUUCCUUAUAAUCUGGCUCUGGCUUUGGUGCUAUGCUUGGUGCAGUUUAUGGUUUCAAUGCAGGGAACCAAUUUCAUCAUAAUCAUCUUAAAGGAUCAAAAUGGCUUUCUUUUGUAACUGGGUAAGUCAAUGCUACUUCCUGAAUUCGAUUUGGAGUUCUUUCGGAAUAGAUUUCCUUCCCUUACAUCACUUGGCUUCUAGUUGCAUCUUCUUGGCUUUCUCCAGCGGACUUUUUUAUUGGCAAAAUUCCUUUGUUUCUAUUGUUUUCAAGUGCUAGUGCUGGAUUUAGAGGUAUGAAUGGUGCCUUCAUUUUUAUUUUUUUAUUUUUAUUUUGUACUGUAAUAUACUUCUUUGUAUAGCUAGUACAAAAUAGUUCUUCAACUUCUUACUUUUGGCUUUAAUGGGUUCGAUAUAUGAUAGCGGAGCCCUAUCAGCAUUUGAUGUCAGACAACAAAUAGGGGACAGAUGGGAUUAGAAAAAUAAGUAACAUGACCAAAAUAAAAAUCUAAUCUACUCAUAUAAGCAACUCAUCAAAUAAGUGUAUCACAUACUUAAGUGAAUAAGAUUCCGUGAUUUCUAGGAAUCCAAGUCAAAUUAUAACAUUCUUUAAAUAAGACUCACAAGCUUAUUAGGUGUUAUAUUGAAUCAUCUAAGUUGAAUAAUCUUUUGGGUUGAAUAUGUUAAUUUCUUAUUCCAUAUGUUUCAGCCUCUCAAUAGUUGAAUUAGCAAUGAAAAUUUGAAAAUGGAAAAACUCAGUGCAAUUAUUUUAGGUGCUUAUCAUAGAUAAGAAUUUCACUUUUUACACUUCAUUGUCUGUUGUCAAAUUUAUUAAGUAUGAACCCGGAUUAGGUUUGUGCUCUCAAGGAUUUAUAAAUAAGUGCUACUUGACUUAGAUGUAAGAAAAUUGAAAAGCAGAGUUGCUUGAUUGAAUAGCUUCAUAUUUUACAUCACAGAAACUCAAUUUUCAUUGCCAUAUGUAGCUCAAAAGAGCAUGAACAUUGAACAUUCAGCUAAUUUAUACUAAUUAAUUAACACAACUAUCAGUUCUUACUUCUUGGUACCCGGCAACAUCCAUCCAUAAGAGUGAAACCCCCAUUGAUUUCAUAUAUACAAAAUAAAUAACUUACAAAGACAAUACCUGACAAUCACAACAAAAACACUAAUUCACUCCAAUAAACAACAUAACGAAUACAUGGUCUAAAUUGCAAGUCUUGUUAUGAUUUUAAUUAAAAGAGAAAAUGUGAAGGACAUGUUAUAUAUAAUUGAAUGUUAUCCUUGAUAAUUAGACAAAAUAACACUAAUGUAGCUAACUAAUCCAAUCAUUGUAAUAAUUGGAUUUUCUUUUUUUAAUUAUGUCUAUUGAUGCUAAUUUAAUCAAGAACACUGAAUACUUGAGUGUUUUUAUGUUCAACAACUUUGGCUAAGUUUGAAAAGAUCAUAUUAAUUAUUAAUAUAAAUAAAUAAGCCAACAAGGUACAUAUUACAUAUAUGUGUAGUUGCAAUAAAUACAUAUGUAAUAAAGAUCAUAAAGCUCAGGGCCAUUAAUUCAACAUUACCAAAUCAAUAUCCCAAUAAUGGUUUGAUUACUAAUCUAAGCAUUAAAUGAUCAGCAAACUUUAUUUGGCCAAAACAAAUGCUUCCUUGUUGCCUCCUUGAUCUUUUCCUGGCUGGUGAUUCUUGAAUGUUCUUCUCAUUUUGAUAUGCUGAGUCGUUUGCUGAUUAUAAAUGCUAAUCACCUUAAAUUUUCUUAGUCUUCUUCUUCAUGUGAAAUUCUACCUAAUGGCUAUCCUUUUAUCUGGUUUGAAUUCUUCUUUUUUCUUUGAAUUGUUGAUUUCUAAUGUUCUUGUCAUUCGCACAUGUGGCGUUCUGCACUCUUGCAAUGCCAUUUCUUAUUAUGGCAGCAGCAUUCUUGGUCAUGGCAUCACAAGCAAAUGCUUUUGAAUUGCUUUGUUUGAUUUUUGUUUCUAAUAUUUUUUUUUUUUGGCAUUGUGGGAUACUGUUUCUCUUUUGAUUUUCUGUCUUUGUUGUUAUGGGAUUCUGGUAUAGUAUGCAUCAGUACACGUAUGAAGAUGAUGUGAUAAAGUGCUUUUGAUAAAUUGCCCCAGUCAGUUUACUUCACAAACCAACCAUUAAUGAGCAAAUCCUUCUAAUGACCCUUGUACACAUUAGAAUAAAUACAAUUCUAUAUAUACACAAAAAUAAAUAACUCUCAAGUAUAUUAUUUGAUAAUCGCAAAAGCAACAAUUCACUCCAAUAAAUCUUAUAACACACUCAUGGUCUAUGUUGCAAGUCUUUGUAGAGAAAAAAUGAAGGACACACAAUUGAAUUUUUUCUAUGAUAAAGAACUCUAAACAAAUUCAUCUACAUAUCGCAGUACCCCUUACAAAUUCAUUUGUUUCUUCUUUUCCUUUGAUCAAGUGCUAAUUACAGCCUUGAUAUUUCAUUUGGUUUUAGUUAAUUUUCUAUAGGGUUGUGUUGUGUGAAAUUAAUUACAAAACAAUCUUUAACGAAGUCUUAUGAAAAUACCAUAUUAUAACUACAAAGUUAGGCUUCCUAAUCAAGCUACUGUUCAUCAGAUUGUGUAUUGUGUUACUGGUGAGCUCUUAUGUCAAUUAUGACCAGACGGCGCCUUGGCUAACUGUGAGUUAUGUGCGAACAUAAGAGCUGCAAAUGAAUUAUGUACUAUUUUUAUGUGACAAGGUAUGUGCUCUGUUUUUAUGGUCUUUCUCUCUGUAGUUCCCUCUGUAGUUUUUUUUUUUUGGGAUACAUUGAUAAUAAAAUUAGAAGUCUACUAAUAUGUACAACCAGAAACCUAUUGGGGACUUUUUGUCUUUUGAUGCAGUUGUAGGGCACAGCUCAAAUAUUCUUUCCUCAUUUAAUAUUGGAGAAAUCCGACUCCCAAGCGAUUCUGUCUACGGUUGUUGGACAAACUGUAAUGUGAAUUUCUAUCUAAUGGGUGUAUCAUUCUUGCAGUCAGUUUGGGAUUGUUGAUAUAGAUAUGAUGUUUAGUCUCCAAAAUUCAGAUGAUGAUAAUCUUGUGAGUACUUUUUGUCAUAUUUUCUUUUGUGUUGGUGUUGGGAUCUUAAUUUUGUAUCCAAUGUUAGGACAAUAUGAACCCAUUUUAAGUGAUAUGAUGCAAGUUCAUGUUCAAGAAUCCAUUUAAUGAAACAUUCCAGUGUUUAAUAAUGAGUAAUUGGUUUAAGAUUAAUACCAAAUAUUUUAAGUAACAUGUGGCGUAUUCUAGUGAGAUCCUCCAACUCAGAUUUCUAACUCAAAUGGAAACGUUUCGAAUUUCUUCAGAACAUUCUGCAGAACGGUUCGUCUUGUCUUUACAGUUUCUUUUGUGAAUUUCUCCCAGUUUCUUUUGUGAAGACUUCUGAAUAAGCUUCCAGAUAUUGAGAUACAAUCCAAUCUAAGCCCAUACGUAUAUCCGCCUCACAUUUGUCCAUUUCCCCAGAAAAUCAAAAAGCACUUUAGUUCGAAACAAACACUCUAAAAAAAACCAUCUAGCUACCCAGAUGGCGAAAUCAAGAAUCUUGCAAUGGCAAUGCCAUUUCUUGUUAUGGCAGUAGCAUUGAUGAUCAUGGCAUCACAAGCAAAUGCUCUGAUGCCGUACACACGAUCACCUUUCUUUGACGUGAUGUUCCCAAUGACGGAAGAUCCUUUCAGGGUUCUUGAACAAACCCCGUUAACAACCCAAAAGGAGCUGAACAUCAUCAAACUCUAGCACUGGCGAGAGCAGACUGAAAGGAGACACCAACAUCACACGUGAUCACACUCGACAUUACAGGGAUGAAGAAAGACGAUGUGAAGAUUGAAGUUGAAGAGAACAGGGUACUGAGAGUGAGUGGGGAGAGGAAGAGCGAUGAUUAUUAUAAGGAGGAAGUUGAAGGAGAAAAAUGACACAGAGCUGAGAGAACAUUUGGCAAGUUUUGGAGGCAGUUUAGGAUGCCUAUGAGUGCUGACUUGGAUCAUGUUAAGGCUCAUUUGGAAAAUGGUUCUAAGGAUCACAGUGCCAAAACUUGCUGAGGGGAAGAAGAGGCAGCCUAAGGUUAUUAACAUUGAUGAAGAGCCUGGUAAUUCUUCCGGUGAAGAUAUUAAGGCCGCCAAGGCUCAAAUGUGAUUGAUUAAAGAAAGAAGUGCUUACUUUGCUUGAUGUGCUAUUUGUUUUGUAAUCUUUUCUUGGUUUUGUUGUGGGAUGUUUUUCUUUGGAUGUUCUGUUUAUUGUAUUUUGAUGGAUUUUUAAAGAUGGCUUGUAUGUAUUAACAACAAUAAAGUAUUUUUUAUAAAUCCGGGUCCUAAAUUUGUAAAAGAAAUUAAUAAUACGCUUGGUUUAUUGUUAAUAAAAAAAAAAAAGACGUCUCUUUUUCUUUAGCAUAUAUUAUGCAUUUUAAGGGAAAAAAAAUUAUCACAUUCUAAUUUAUAAAGCAUUCCUCUUCUGUCAUAUUAAUGUGUUAAUACGAAGGUCUAUUGGAAUUAUAAUAGUUUAGAUGAAUCCAAAAUAUUCAAUAAUUGAUAAAUAGUAUAUAUAAAUAUUAAUAGCAAUGGCACAUAAUCAAUUAAUUCAAGAACUUGCCCAUAGUGCAUUAAGUUAAAAGAGUAAAAAUAACAUUGCAAAACAGGCCAGACCUUACGUGUUUAAUUAGCAAUUGAAAACUACUUUACCGUACAACACCAUUAAGAGAUAUUUAUAACACUGUUGUUGAUGAGGCAGCUGUUAAUUCUUUUGGUGAAGAUGUUAAGGCCACUAAAGCUGGAACGUAAUCAGGGAAAUAUAAUGUAUUCACUUAGUUUGCUAUUUGUGUUUUUAUAUUUGUUUGGCUAAUUCUUUUAUCAGAUUGCUUUUUGUUUUUGAGAUUUUAUUGGCUUAGUCGUGGGAUAUUAUUUAAUCUUUUAAUUUUGUGUUUUUAUUGUUAUGGGAUUUGAUGAUGGCAUACAUAUAGGAAAAUUAUGUAAGAAAGUGCUUUUAAUAAAUUAUGGUCGGUUUACUAUUAAUUAACCAAAUUUAAUUUACUCAAAUUACUCCUAUACACGAUUAAAAUAAUUUCAAUUCCAUGAUAUAAAUACGCGCGUGCGGACACACAAAAUGUAAAUAACUUUCAAAUACAAAAUAUUUAAAAUAAUCAUCAUACUAACAAUUCACAAGUUAGAUUAUAUUAAGGCCACCAAGGCUUAAAUGUAAUUGAUUAAAGAAAGAAGUGCUUGCUUUGCCUGAUGUGCCAUUUGUCUAUGAUGUUUUCCUGGUUUUGUUGUGUGAUGCUUCUCUUUAGAUGUGUUGUUUAUUGUAUUUUGAUGGGUUUUUGAGGAUGGUUGUAUGUAUUAGCAACAACAAGGUGCUUUUUAUAAAAUCCGGGUUCUAAUUUUGUAAAAGAAAUUAAUACUCUCGGUUUAUUGUCAAUAAAAAAGAAAAAGGAAAAAGCCUUUUUCUGUGGCAUAUAUUAUGCAUUUUAAGGAAAAAAAAAUCACAUUCCAAUUCAUGAAAGACAUUCCUUCUGUCAUAUUGAUGUGUUAAUAGAAAGAUCUCAUAACAAUUUUGAUGAAUCUAAAUAUUUAAUAAUUGAUAAAUUGUAUUUAUAAAUAUUAAUGCCGGUGGCACAUAAGCACUUAAUUCAAGAACUCGCCUAUAGUGCAUUAAUUUAAAGAGUAAAAAUAUUUAAUAAAUCAUGCUUAGUUUACUAUUAAUUAAUCAAAUUUAAUUUACUCAAAUUACUCCUCUACAUGAUCAAAGUAAUUUCAAAUAUACAACACAGAAAAUGUAAAUGACUUUGAAAUAUAAAAUAUUUAAAAUAAUCACCCCACUAACAAUUCACCAGCAAGAUUAUAAAUAGUCGAAAUAAUGAUAAUCUAGGGGGUCCAGUCAUAAUAAUUUGAUUUUUAUUUAUAUUAAUUAUAUCAGAAAGAGUACUCGAGAUUAUAUAUAUCCAACAACUAAAAUUUCAAAACAAUAUUUGCCAAAGUCUGAUGAAGAGAAUACAUAUAUAUAUAACAUGCACUCGCACACAUUCUAUUGUUUAAUUAAAAAAUUCGAAAGCCCAUUAUAUACAUGAUAAAGACUCACCGACACCGAACCAUAUUCAUUUAAAGGAAUUGUUUUUAACUGAGAUUUGAAAUUAUAUACACAAACACACCUGUUUUUUUUUUUUAAAAAAUUACUAAUAAUAAAAUAUUUCGGCAAAACAAAUUUUGCCGAAAGCAAAAAGUCUGGUGAAAAGAAAUGUUAUGUGCAUAUAACCGUACAGGCGCAGCAGAAGGAUAAGUCAAAGAAAAACGAAGUUUCAAUAAGAAAUUAAUUACACAUUUACACUCAAUAAGAAAAUCAAUUCAUUACUUUCUAGCGCUUUUAUUUAAAAAGCGCAGUCUAUUUUUUAAUUAAAAAAAUUCGAAAACCGAUUACAUGAUAAAAACUCACCGACACCGAACCUUAUUAAUUUAAAAUAGUUUUCAACUAAGAUUUGAAAUUACAUUCACAAACACACCCAACUAAAAAAGAAAAAUUCUAAUAAUAAAACAUUUCAGUCAUCAAAAACCCAUUUAUAAUUUAUUUCAACACGCGGUAUAUGGGUUAACAAGUCCCAAUAUUGUCCUCCAUCCUUUCUGCACUUCUCUUCUAUCAACGGACAUCCCUCGAUGUAUAAACACAAAAGUGAGGAAGGCAGGCCCUUCUCCGGAAAGUAUUUGAGCUUGGGACAAUCCCAGAGAUGCAAUUGAGUGAGGUUUUGAAGAUCAACAAUUGAAGAAGAUAGGCGUUCCAGAUUUGGAAAUCUGAAAAUCCACAGAGAUGUUAGAGAGGCAGGAAGAGGAAGCGCGGUCCCCAAUCUUAUGUCCUCCGGUGGGAACGACACCGUGUCCUCAUCACAUCCUUCGAUUCUAAGUUCUCGCAGAGAGGAGAAUCUGUGAAAUCCUCUGCUCCGCUCAAUCAUUGACUUCCAAAUUUUCGUAUUACCAUCAAUCUCCAGUGAAUGAAGGUUGGUGGGAAGGCCAUCUUCUUCAAGGCUUGGAAGCUCACCUCCUGUUCCUAUUCUUAAUUCUUGAAGAGAGCUCAGAUUGUGCAAUCCCUUGGGUAAGGCCUCUAGUCUCUCACAAUCAGAUGUCUCCAGCGUCCUGAGUUUCGCACAAGGCAAUCCCCCUUCGGGAAAGGACACCAGAUUUCCACAAUUCCAUAUCUUAAUCUCUUGAAGCUGGCGGAGAUUAUGUAAACCACUCGGUAAAAUUUUCAGAUUUUCACAAUUAGAAAUGUCGAUUGUUUCAAGAGAUGUGUUGUUGUCCAACCUUUCUGCUAUUGACUCCAGCUUUGAACAACUCCGAACAUUAAGGCUCUUAAGAGACGGAGGUAGAUUGCCAACUUCAAGGGACUCAAGCGUGGCAGGUAACUCGUUUUUUGAAAAUAUACAUGUCAGUGAUGGACAAACUGCAAUUAAUAAGUGCUCAAGAAGAGAUGAGGUGUACCUUCUGCUGCUGCUGCUGCUGUGGAUGCCCUCUUCCACUGUCAAAGUCCUUAUGUUACUGCACCACUGGAUGUCCAACCUCUUAAGGCUUGAUGGUAGCUGGACUCCAGCAAUAUAUGUCAACGAACGGCAAUCCUCAAUAUACAAGAUCUCGAGAGACGAAUUGGUGUCGCACAUCCAUGCCUCCGGUAACGAUUUCAGUGCGUCACAUUCCCUAAUCUCAAUUUGCUUCAACUUGGAAGGCAGAGCAACCUCAGGAAAGGAAACAAGGGAACUGCACUUGUAGAUUUCUAUCUCUCUCAAGGAACUGAGGCUGAGAGAUGAUUGUGGCAGCUUCACAAGGCCUUCGCAAUAUCUCAAUCUUAGAUAUUCGAGUCUGCAUGACAACUGGCAGAGCUGCUGUUGUUGGUCUUUCUCUUCCUCCGCCACCAAGGAUUGAAGUUUGGGACACCGUCUAAUCGUCAAUCUUUUGAGAGAGCAAAUGUCUUGUAGUAAUCCGUCAUGACUCUUCCAUAUAUAUGUUUGCUCUUUUGUCGACAAAAUUAAUUCUUCCAAUUUCGAUAGUUGUGGCUUCAAGGGCCCCGCAAGAAACACUUGAUUUGAUGUAUCUCUACAAACCACUGAAUUCUGUGAUCCGAGAUGACCAGUUGCACUUUCCCACACAACCUUUUUGCAUCCACCAAUCUGUAAUUUGCAAAGAGCUGGAAGACUCGAAACUGAAACUACCAAUUCUUCACAUCCUUCAAUAACAAGCAUCUCCAAUGCAGGAAGGUGCUCUGGAAAUGUUCCUUUCAGUUUAGAACAUCUUAAAAUGUGAAGCUCUCUCAAUUUAGGAAACCGUUCAACUCCCUGACUGGAUCCAUGAGGAAUCCAGUCUUCCCAUUCUCGCAUGUUUUCAAAACGAAGAGUCUCCAAACAUGGAGGAUCAUUCCCACAGAACUCUGAACCCAACCUUUUUACUCUGCUCAUUCCACGCACUGUAAGAUGCUUUAGAGAGGGCAGUUGCCCGACAGACGGCAGGGCAGUACACAUGCCGCAAUCUUCAAAUUCAAGUGUUACUAAAUUUGAGAACAAGGAAUCUCCUAACCAUGUUGGAAAUUUCAUACCUCCAUAGCCUUUGAUACAAAAUUGCUCCAGAUUUGUAUGAGGUUUUAGCAUGUCAAGCACGCCCAUUUCAGUUUCUGCCUCCCUUGAAGAAGAACCAUCGGUACUGCAAGUCCAUUUAAGCGAUAAUUCUUUCAGAUUCUUCUUUCCAUCCAUUUGAGCCUCCAUGGCAUCACCAACGCAUUUUACAUUCUCCAAUUUUGAAAUGCUAAGUGUCCCAUGAAGGUGCGUCAACAACUUUAGCUCUCGUAAACCGGAACCACUGCCUUUUCCCACAACAAAAUUACACAACGUCUGAAGACUAGUCAACCUACCAAUUCCUACUGGCAUUUCCUCCAACGACUUCGUAUUUGAAUUCUUAAGAUGAUGCAAUUUGAUGAGGUUCCCCAUGUCUGCACACAACUUCUUCAGCCGAUCACAAUCUUCCAACAAAAGACUAUGCAAAUUGUAAAGCUUGUUGACUGAUUCAGGCAGAGUUCUAAUCUCAGUUCUAGACAGGUUAAGGUACCUUAAAUACCUCAAAUCACCAAUUGAAUCUGGCAGCUCAGGGAUGCGGUAUCCACGCAAAGAGAAGACCCUCAAGCGUUGAAGUUUGAGCAACUUAGGAAGAAUGCUAGGAGCCAAGUAGCCAGGCCAUCUAUUUGUCAACAUUACUGGUAAAAAAGUUCUCAAAUGUUGGAUAUCAUACAAGUCCCCAAACCUUUGAACGCCAUCAUAAUCUCCACAAAUGUAUGAUAGAUGACGAAGAUUUCUGGAAAAACAUUGUUGCUUGUUAACCUCCGAGGUAUACUCCAGUGUGAAGUAUGUCUCCCCUGCAGCCCAACGGGCAAGGUCGUUGAUAAGAUCGUGCAUAACAAAUAGUGAUGCAUCGGUGGCCGAUUGCUGGAAAAAAGAUCUUGAACAUAGCUCCUUAAAGAAAUCACGACCUAAAUCUUCACUAGGAUUCUCAUCUUCUUUGUGAUCCAAAAAACCGGAGGCACACCAUAAUAAAAUUAUCUCCUCCUCUUCAAAUUCAUAAUCCUUUGGUAACAAUGAGCAGUAUGCAAAGCAUUGUUUCAAAGUUGGAGGAAGAUAAUAAUAGCUCACUGCAAGGGCUGGUAUAAUGCGACACCUCUGUUCUGGUAAUUCCCAUAUCUUGCUACCGAGCACACCUUCCCAUACCCGUCUGUCAUGUCUUCCACGUAAUAGUCCUCCAAGUGUUUGUGCAGCUAAGGGCAAGCCAUCGCAUUUGGUCACUAUCUUCUUGCCAAUUUCCUCCAAUAACUCAUGCGGCCCCAGAGAAUGUUGAGCGAAUAUAGCUAGACAGUCAUUAUCUGACAAUUUUUUUAAUGGAUGAGGUGGAAGAGUCCCCAUGAUUGUUGCAACAUCCUGAUUGUGAGUAGUAACAAUAAUCUUACUUCCCUGUGCACCAGCUUCAAAUGGAAGGCUGAGCUGAAUCCAAUCAUCGUAACUAUCAUUCCAUACGUCGUCUAAAACAAGCAAAAAUUUCUUUCGAGACAACUGCUUCUUUAGCUCCUCUUGAAGAAAAUUUAAAUCAUUAUUAUCAACAGUCUGCUUAGUAAUGGAGCUUAGAAUUGUUCUUGUUAGCCUGAUAAGAUCAAAAUCAUCAGAGACACAAGUCCAUGCCUUGAGAUCAAAAUGAUCCUCCACUUGCUUGUAGACAAGCUGAGCAAGAGUGGUUUUACCCAGCCCGCCCAUACCUAUAAUGGGAAUAACUGCGAAUCCACCAUCCUUUCUUGAAUCAUCCUUCAACAACAAUUCAACAAUUUCCUUCUUUUCUGUUUCCCUGCCAUAUACUUUGGCUUCCUCCACCAAAGAGGUUGUCUCUUGCCUUUGCCUGGCUUUUUUGGACCCCCCAGCUAAACUUUUUAUCAAAUUCAGCGAGCGUAUUCCUUCUUCAAUAUCUUGAAAUCUGUCGUUGAUCUUUUUGAUUUUGGACAUCAAGGCGAAAUCGAACUGAAUCGAUUGUAGAGUAAAAGUGGUACAGCAAGUAGGAAUGAGCUUCCGAAACUUACUCUUCGUGCUUGUACGACUGCUGCUGGGUUGAUCAUGAGCAGCAGCUGGUUCUCCAUUUCCAAGCAGCAACUUCCUCCGGAAAGCCUCAGUUUGGAACUCAUCCAACAAGUCUUCAACGUCAUAAGCCAAGUUCUGAAGCUCGCCAAGCCACAACUUCACAUAAUCAUCAGUCGUCUUCUUCUCCUCAGCAUCAUCAAGCACCGCCUUGAUCGUCACCAACUUAUUCUUCCACUUCACUAGAUCGUCUUUGAUUCGACCUUGGCGUGCAAAACGCAGAAUCCCCUUUGAAGCUAACUUAUUGACCAGCAACUCAACGGACGCCGUCAGGAUUGCCUCUCCGAUGAUUGACAUUUUUUCUUUUUUCUUUUUUUUUGGGUUUUUUUGGACAAAGAAAAAAACUAAAUUAUGAGUUUGUGGAAAGCAAAAUGAGAAAAGUGAAUAAGCGGAAUGUGUUUGUGAUUGUGUCUAGCAAGCCUAGAAAUCAAGAAAAAUCCACCGUAAAAGUGAAAAGUAAAACGGAGCCCACCACAAAUAUAAAAUCAGAGGAGCACAGAAUAAAAAAAAAAACAAAAGAAAAGAAAAAGCCAAGCCAAGAAUCAUAUGCCAUUGCUUUACAUAUUAAAUUAAAACAAAAGCCAUGCCAGGAAUCCUGCCUUUGCUUGAUAUUUGACAAGAUUAAUUGGACAUUACACAUUAUUUCACAGAGAAUAAAACUUGUAAAGAACCAAACCCAUCAAACCCUUUCUUUAUCUUAAAUGUCAGAAAUAUAUAAUUAGCUUGGAAUAAAGCUAUACUCUUCUCCUUUUUCCAUUUCUACAGGUUCAUAUAGGCAUAUCAUAUGGAUUUUGUUUUAUGCUAGGUAAUUAUUAAUUUAUAUAAUAAUAUAUUUCCCUCAAAAUAUACUAUUUGAAUUUGAAAUAAUUUUUUAAAAUAAUUUAAUAUCACAAUAAUAGUCAUGAUUCAAUUCGGUUCAGUUUAAUUUUUUUAGAGAAAAAAUUUGAGAAAAUAGACAAAUAAUGAAGACGCAAUUGAAGCACAGCCAAUAAACAGGGUAAAGUGAAUUGCGUCCUGUCCUUGAGCACUCAAUUCUCUUCAAUCUCAAAUUUAUACGUACAUUUUUGUAAAUUCAUGUCAUAUACUAGAGUCUUUUGGGUUCUGUUACAUCAAUUGUUUCGUGUCUAUCUUGUUUUAUUAAUUUAUGGAGCAAGAUUGCUAGUAGCGAUAAACCUGGAAUAAAACGAUUUAUUUAUUUUAUAUAUAUAUUGCGUUGUUAUCAGCAAAAAAUAUGAUGGGUUUCGUUUGUAACAACUAGCUAAUUGCUUAAUACAUUUUUGUACUUCUCGUCAUGAAGUCACGAGGAACUUGUAAAUAAGAUCAUAGACGUGGUACGAUGUGACGUGAUAAAUUUAAAUCAAAUCUAAACUAAGAUGGUUCAUAUAUAGGUACAUACUGAAUAAAGAUAUUUAAAGCAUUCAAUUUUAUGACAUACCUAAUAGUCAUUGGCUUAUUGUUAUUAAAGGAAGUGAAUAGAAAUAGAUGUAGAAAGUGAAAAAGAUGAACUAGCGCACAUGAUGAUUUCUCAGAUAAAAAGUUAAAUUUAUAUUCUUUUUUUUAAUAAGUGUGAGAUGAUUUACACCCUAAAAUUUAUUUUGAACACUCAUAUUUUUAUUACAAAAAACCCCAUAGUUCAAUUUACUGGUAUGGACAAUUCAAUAAAAAUACAUAGAACAAUAAUACUUUUGACACCCAUCUGGCUAUAUUUAACAAGUUUGCACGCACAGACUCUAUGAUUCUAAUUUCUUUGACUUGGUUUUAGUUUUUGUUGAAUAUAUAUCUACCUAUAUAAAGUGUUAGUGAUUUUUCACUUCUCUACCAAGGAGAUUCUACACGAAUAAACAACCGCAGAAAAAAAAAUAUAAAAAACCUGAUACAGGUGAAGAAGAUAUUCAUCAUAACAGUUUUUUAAAGUUGAUGAGUCCAAAUAUCCAAUAACUGAUAAAUUGUGUUAAGAAAUAAAAAAUAUUAAUAGUGAUGACACAAAGGAAGUCCCGUGUUUUGAGUUUGACUAAAAUAAUCUGAAUAAUUUAAAAUAAUCGAUCAGGCCAAAUUGCUGAAGAGAUGAACGGCCUCUGUUUUUUACCAUAAUACUAGGAAUUGACUUCAAUUGGGAAGUCAGGCCAAUCGAAGGAGCUCCCCUGUUUCUGACUGAAACAUAAUCCUAACAAUUUACAAUUAAAUAAAUCAUUCAAAAUUUCUCCUUUAAUCGAACCCCCACUUCUAUGACUUAAUAAAAUAUUACAAAAGUUCUUAAUACAGUGAAAUUAACGUUCAGCUCAUGAAGUCGCCAUUAUAUAUAUUGAAAAAGAGAUUAGUACAAGACAUUGAAAAUUAAUUGACAUUGAAUCACGUUGGAUCCUUAGUUGUUAAUUAUGAUCUUGGUCUUUUAAUUAUCAUCUAGCCAACGCAGGUCCACUAGUUUCAUUUGUGUCAAUCACUGAAAAGUAGAGCUUUAUUGAACACCGCAUAUUACAGAAACUCACUCGAUUUUCAUUGCCAUACAUGUAGCUCAAAAGUACAUAUUAUAUCAGUGAACAUGGAACAUUCAGCUAACCUAUAACAAAUAUAAUAAAAUCUCAAUAAAUUAAUAGUUCUGGGACCAAUGAAAAAUUAGUUAAAAUUUCAUGAAUAUCAAUUAGUCGAUAAGUUAAUAAAUUAUUAAUUUAUGAAAAUAUUCAUUAUUUUGGAAAAAAAUGAUUACGUUUAUAGUAUUGAUUUACGUUGAGUUAGAAUCUAUUAUUUUUUAUUUGAAUAUUAAUUUUCUUUUAAGAAGAUUUUUUAAUAGUUAACUACUUUAUAAUAAGACUAUUGUAUGAUUUUUAUUUUUCCAUGUUAGAGAUGAUAGUUCUGCUAUGCAAGCUGUUUCGAUCAAAGGAUUAGAUGAUAUUGACAUUGAAUAAUUUUUUGUUGCAAAAUGACAACACCAAUUAGAAUUUCUUUUCGCAUUACAAAAGAAAAAAAUGAGAUCCAAUUCUAAAUUAAUUUAAAAAGAAAUAAACGAUGCUGAGAAUAAAUUUUACACAAGCCAUAUAGACAUAUCAUAUGGAUUUUGUUUUAUAUUAGGUAAUUAUUAAUCUAUGUAGUAAUAUAUUUCCUUCAAAAUGUACUAUUUGAUUUUGAAAUUAUUUUUGAAAAAUUUAAUAUCAUAAUAAUAGUCAUGAUUCCAUCGGUUUGAGGUUUUUUUUUUUUUUUUGGUUUAAGAAAAAAGAUGGGACAAUAGUCAAAUGAUGAAAACACAAGCUAAGCAGAGCCAAUAAACAGGGGAAAGUGAAUUACUGUCCUUGAACACGUUCUCUAAUAAUCUCAAUAUUCUACGUACAUUUUUGUAAAUUCAUGUCGCAUACAAAAGCCUUAUGGGUUUUGUUGCAUCAAUUCUUUGGGGAUUUAUCUUGUUUUAUUAUUUUGCGACGCAAGAGUCCUCGAAGCAAUACAUUUGGAAUAAAACGAUUCAAUUUAUUUUUCGUUGUUAUUAACAAAAACUAUAUAUUAUUAAUUAAUCAACUCAUCGAGAUAUUGGUUUCAUUUGUAACAAGUAGCUAAUUGCUCAGUACAUUGUUGUACUUACUCAUUAUCAUAUCAAGACGAACUUGUAAAUAAGAACAUAGACGUGGUACACUGUGAUGUGAUAUAUUUAAUUCAAAUCUAAAUUAAGAGAUGAUUCAUAUAUAUAGGUACAUACUGAAAAAAGAUAUUCAAACAUAAACACUCCAUUUUAUGAUAUACCUAACAAUAAUCGGUUUAUUGUCCAUAGGAAAUGGAGUGAAUAGAAACAGAUGUAGAAAGUCAAAAAGAUGAACGAGCGCACAUGACGAUUUAUAAAAUAAUAAAUUAAAUUUAUAUCGUUUUUAAUAAGUGUGAGAUUAUUUACAUUUUCAAAUUUAUUUUGAAUGCUCUUAUUUUUUACUACAAAACCUCAUAAUUCAAUUUACUAUUAAGAGCAAUUCAAUAUAAAUAAAUAGAACAAUAAUACCUUUGACACCCACCUAGAGCGCACACACCCAUGUAAAAUUAUUAAACCUUAAACCGAAGAACAUUCUUCCUCAACAUUAAAACUCGUGCAUUAUUUAAAACCAUAUUUAACAAAUUUUCACAAAGAGACGCCAUGAUUCUAAUUUCUUUGACUUACAUUUCAAUUUUUGUGGAAUAUAUAUCUAUUCCAUAUUAAGAGAUUCUGAAUCUUUCACUCGGCUGUCAAGGAGAUUGUACUGAAUAAACAACAGCAGAAAAACAAAUAAAAAACUUGAUACACGUGUAGAAUAUACUCAUUAAAUUUUAAUUUUCGGCACAAUUAUGAGCUGCAUAUUUAUACACACACACAAAUAACUGUUCUGCAAAUAUGUACAAAUCAAUUUCAGCCAUCCAACUUUUUUUCGAAUUUUAAUGAAUAUAAAUUUUAUAAGUUGGGCAACUAUGAAACAUAAAAUUAGCAAAAUGAUAUUAUUAACAAAUAAGGAGAGCAAAAGGUAAUUAUAUCUUGGUGUGCUAAAUAUUUUUAUGGGUGUAGUGAAAAAACUAAAGAUAAUGGAAGAAAUGUUAUUGAGGAGUAAGUGAAAAGUGAUUUCCUAAAAUCUAUUAACUAAUGCGCAAAAUAGAAGGGCAUUUUGAGAAAAUUUUAGAUUAAAAAUAGUCCCAUCCUUUUAAUAAUAUUCUUCAAUCAAUCUGUUUAUUUCAAAAUAAAAAUCCAUCUCAUUUUUACUUUCUAAUUAGUCAUAUUAAUGUGUUAAUAAUUACGAAGAACCAGUAUUAUUUGUAUGAUGUAGGAAGCCCUUUCGACACAAUAACCCAAAUUUCUAAGAGUAGCGGCUGGACUUGAUUGGGAACAACUUCGAUUCAGUUUAAAAGGUUAAUCUCAAAAUUUCGUGAUAUUGUGCCUAAAGAGCUUCCUGCAUCAGUAUAACAGUUUCUAAAUUAAUAUAAUUGUGUGUUCAUUUUUUAUGAUUUUCCUUUAAUUUUUUUUUUAGAAACUGUUGUUCUUCAAUAAUUAUUCUAACAAUGUUGCUUUAAAGUGAUGUUGAUACGGGAGUCGAUGAGUCUUUAUCUGAAACAAAAAUUUACAAAAAAAAAUAUUAAAUUAAAAAAAAAGUACAUCAAAUAUUGGGCUCCCCCAAGUUUUACAUUUGUCUUCCACAAUGAGACAAGCCCUUUUUUCAAGUGAAGACUUUUGAUGUACAAUUUGUAAAGGAAAUUUGCCCCAUAUAAUUUUCCUUUCUACAACUUGCAAGCUUAUGUAAAUCAUAUCAACUUAAAAGAUUCCAAGAUUUGGUAUUUUGGUGAUUUGAGUAUCCAAUGGUGAUGACACAUACGCAUGGAAGUCCCCUGAUUUGAGUUUGACUAAAAUAAUCUGAAUAAUUUAAAACAACACAUCAGGCCAAAGUCCUUAAGAGAUGAACUGGAUUUCAGUGCAUCACAUUCCGAAAUUGAUACUAACCUUAACUGGGAAGGCAGAACAGCCUCUCUUUCCUACUGUUGCACAAAAUGGCAAGUCAAGCCAAUUCAAGGAACUUCCCUGUUUUUUACUGAAAAAUACAUAAUCUGAACAAUUUAUAAUCAAAUAAAUCAUUCAAAAUAUCCUUUAAUCGAACCCCCGUUUCCAUGGUUUAAUAAAAUAUCACAAAGGUGCCUAAUACAGUGGAAUUAACACUCAGCUCAUGGGAUUGCCAUUAUAUAUAUUGAAACAGAAAUUAAUACAAGAAACUGAAAAUUAGUUGACACUGGAUCACGUUGGAUCGUUAGUUGUUAAUUAUGAUGGAAAUAUAAUCUUGGUCUCUUACUUAUCAUCUAGCUAAUGCAUGUGCACUAGUUUUAAUUGUGUCUAUCACUGUAAAUAGUAGAGUUGCUUGAUUGAAUAGUAUCAUAUUACAUCACAGAAACUCGCUCAAUUUUCAUUGCCAUAUGUAUCUCAAAAGUGCAUGAACAUUGAACAUUCAGCUAACUUAUACCCAACAACAUCCAUCAGUCAGAGUGAAACCCCAAUUGAUUUCAUAAAUACAAAAUAAAUAACUCGCAAAGGCAAUCUUUGACAAUCACAAAAGCAACAACAAUUCACUCCAACAAACAACAUAACAAUUAUAUGGUCUAAAUUGCAGGUCUUUUUAUGAUUUUAAUUGAAAGAGAAAGCACGAGGGACAUAUUAUAUAUAAUUGAAUGUUAUGAUUGAUAAUUGGGCAAAAUAAUACUAAUCUAGCUAACUAGUCCAAUCAUCAUAAUAAUCUGAUUUUCAUUAUUUAAUUAUGUUCAAUCAUGUUAUUUUAAUAAAGAACACUGAACGCUUGAGUAUUUAUAUGUUCAACAACUUCGGCUAAAUUUGAAAAAAAAAAAGUAUUAAUUAUGAAUAGUAAUAAAUUACCCUACAAGCCACAUAUUGCGUACAUAUGCAGUUGCAACAAAUAUAUGUGUAAUAAAAAGAUCAUAUGUGCUUAGAAAAUGAAGCAUCAUUGAAUAAAUGGAAAAAAAAGAAAGAAAAUUAAAAUCAGCGUCCAGCGGAAAGAAUCCAUCUUUACGUGUUGCCUCCAAUUUGGUACAUCUAUCUGACUUUAAAAAAAUUGCAGUAGAAAUUAGAGCUCAUUUUUUUAGAUAUGGCUCAUAUACAAUACAAGUGUCAAGAUGUAAUUAGAGUUUACAUAUAUACACGUGUCUAAUUCUAAUUGACAGACAAACUAAUCAUAAAUACUCAGGUGUUUCUAAAUGAUUGAAUAAUGAUAUUGUAGUGACUUGAUUGCUUUGUUCUCUGAUUAGAAAUAAAUCACUGUCCAAGAACCUUUGUCAAGAUCUGUUCAAGUUGCAAUUAAACCAACACCAAUCUGAGGCUUCAAUGCUGAUUCACACCAUAGCUCUAGGUUAAUGGAGGUUGAAAACAGAAGAUUAAAUUGAACUAGAAGCAGCACACACUCACACAAAGAACAGGAUUUAACGUGGUUCGAUUAUGCAUAAAUGCACAAUCUACAUCCUUGGGAGAAGCCACAGAGCUAAUACAGAGGAGAUUACAAGGAACAAGAAGACUCUUUCUCUCUUUCUAAGAUCUCUCUGGAAAGCUCUCAAAAUCCUAUGCAAUGUUUUUCAACAACCAGCCUCUUUACACCCCUGAUAUUGAAACCCAGAUUGCAUAGCUUUUGGACGCGUGUAUAACGGCUUCAUAACGAAUUUGAUUCCCUUCUCACAUGCGGUCUCACGUGCUUCACUUAAACUUGCUCAAAACGACUGAAAGUAGCGUCGUUUUUCCUUAAGAUUAGUGAAGAAGAUAGCAUGUGUGUUGCACGUGAGUCGUAAGUGGAUUCGCUUACUCAAAACACAGCCGCUUUAGGGCUUCGAGUUUUGGAUUCAUGGCACUCUAGUCCAGAGAUAUUAUUGGUAUUUAUAAAUUUCAAAGUGGUGAUAACAGAUUCACAACAUAUUGGAGUUUUGGAUUCAUGGCACUUAUGGUUUCUCAUCAAAUAAUGUUAUAAAAAAAAAUACAUAAGUUAGAAGAUUCACAACAUAUUGGAGUGUAAUUUCCACUUGAGUGACAAUGAAUGAAGUUAUGUUAAUUUAGAUUAAGUACAAGCCUUCCUAAAUAGGAUUAGAAAUACUCUAUUAACAUAUCGAAUACUACCUUAGUAAAAAUUUAGUUGACAAAAAUUAAAAAAAAAAAAGCCUUGAAGGCUUGAAACAAUUAACACCAACUAAAUAAUUGUCUUACAUCACCAAUUUUUUUUUUUUCAUUUUAAUAAGACAUCACCACACUCCUGACUUUAUAAAGUGACUUUAUAAAGUAAAGCAUAAAAUAUAAUAGAGAAGUUUGAGUUUAAAAAAAUAAAGUUGGGAGAAUGACUUGUCACGCUGUCUUUGAUCAUUGAGCACACAAUUAUCUGAGAAAAAAAAACUCUAUUGUAUUUGUGUUUGUUGUAGAUUCAUGUCAUUUACUAGUCCUUUGGGUUUUGUUGUAUCAAUUCUUUGGUAAAUGUUUAUCUCGUUUUCAUUCUUUUAUGAUGUGAGAUUCCUGGUUAUAUUAGGAAUCAGAGUGAAAUCCAAUCUUAAAAUUUGGAGAAAUAAAACGUAAUAUGAUUUUUAAAAUUUAGAGAAAUAAAAUGUAAUAUGAUUUUUUAAUGAAUAAAACGAUUUAAUUUAUUUCUUUUCUACUAGUAAAAAUUAUUAAUUUAUUAACCCAUCAAGCUAUUGGUUUCAUUUGUAAGCUGGUCAGUCAGUUUUUUAUUUUGAGUUGUUAUCUUUCAAAAGAUAUUAGAAAAAUCUUACUUUGAGUGUACUUGAUCACUUCACUAAUUAUAGGGUAUUUACAAGUUAGAAAAAUAAAUUAUUUCUGGCCGAAGACACUAGAAAUUAAAGUUCAUAUGACUUUGUAAUACUGUUUGGUAAGUGAGAAAAUUGCCGAGAAAAUACAGAGCAAAUAGAAUCUUUAAGAAGAUCUAAAUUUCUGUAUUUUAUUGAUCUAAAAAAAUGAUACAAGCUCUUAUAUACAAUUGUAAGAUUCUACACACUCACAAUGAAAUAUCACGCUACUAGUAAUUAACAACCCUUAUAACAAACUCAACUGAUUCAGGCUGACUCCAGAGAAUGUCGAAAAGCGUUUGGCUAAUUUUUGUAUACACACACAUAACACAAAAUUAAAUUAGUUGGCAGCGUUGACAGUGAGUCGUUUUUGGCCAUCCAUAAGUUCACAUGUGCAUGGACAUCUGUUGCCAGCCCUUUCAUUAUUUUAAAUCUCCAUAACAUUAUUAGAGUCCCACAUUUAUCACACAUCAUUAAGUAGAAUGCGCUAAUUAGGAAGAGCUAGUUUCUUUGUUCUGUUUUCUUGCAUAUGUUGCAAUUUUCGAGUAUCACUGAAAAUUUUAGACCGUCAAACCUGCAGGAAAAUUAUAUACAUAUUCUAUCAUUCAACCUCAACAAAUAAAUUCUUUUCACUGGAAUCCAACAAUCGUUAAGUGUUAACCUUGUAGUUCUCAAGAGCAGAAAUUGUUGUAUUAAUUUUUUCAAAGUGUCUCUCUUAAAAGAACACUAAAGAUAGGAGAGUGAAAUUUCAACUGAGAUCUUGCCACAUAAGACGAUCGAUUUAAUCCGACAAAAUGUGCGUUAGGUUAAUAAGAGCCAAUACUGCCCUGAUCCUUUCUGCAUCUUUCUUCUAUCAGCGGACAAUCCUUGAUAUACAGUUGCAAGAGCGAGGUAGGCACGCUCUUGUCCAAAAAGUAUUUUGGCUUCGGACGAAUAUAAAGCCAAAGAUACACCAACGACGUGAGAUUUUGACCAAUUGAAGGCAGGCAUUCCAUGCUUUGGAAAUCAUAAAUCCACAAAAGGGUUCCUAACUCCUGUGGCGAAAUGACACCACGUCAUGAAGUCCUCCGAUUGACAGUCGUUGUAGAGAUGAGAAUCUGUUCAAUCCCCCUUCCCCCCCACCCCAUCGAUGGCUUCCAAAUCUUCAUAUCAUGAAUAUAAAGUGACUGAAGGUUGCUGGGAAACCUACCAUCAUCUGCCUCAACUGGGAAGCAAUACCAUAUAUGCUUGCCAGACCUCCUCUGUUUCAUUCUUGAAGACUGUGCAUGUCCUUGGGUAAGGCCUCUAGCUUAUCACACCACGUUAUCCGGAGCUUAGACAGUUCCGCAGAAGGCAAUCCUCCUUCAGGAAAGGGUCAUUUCAAUAAAAGCACAGUACAAUUGCUUAACUAAUUUUUUGAAAACAGAGAUAUGAGAGAUUGACAAUUUACAAUUGCUUAACUGCUCAAGAAGAGAGCACGCUUGAAUUAUGAAAUACGAAAAAGAGAGCACAAAUGAAAAAUCUUAAGGAAUCAGCAGGAUUCACAUCCGACCAACUCCACGCUGCUAAAGCAAAGGAUUAAUUUUUGAGAAAUUGUAAAGAAAUUAAUACAAGUGAAAUGAGAGCCUGUUCAUUUGAUUAUUGGCCAAGGGUGAUUUCAAUAACGUUUUCAAAGAAGAUAUAGGACAAAGAUCAGAACGAAAAAUAAGUAAUUUCAGUCGUUGAAAAAAAAGAGCAAGCUUCACACAUGCAUGCAUGUGUCGGACCAACAGAACAUGGCUUGUGUCAAGGAUCAAUCAAAGACAUAUAAACUCAGUUUUAUAAAGUAAGCAUCAAAAUGUUUGACAAGUUUUAGAUUUGUAGAAUAUUGGGAAAGCAGACAAAUAAUCAAUGAAGACACUGCAAGUUAAGCAGAUCAAUUAAACAGAGGAAAUAGCUGAUCAAUUCUUUGUGCAAUGGCCACAGCAACUGUGAGGUUAUAAGUUGCUGAUGUGUUGGGCUUCAAUACAAGAUUCGAAGAGUUCUUGGGGCUGUGUGAAGACUGACUUCAGUUGGAGGGGUCUUAUUGUAAAUUUUAUGCUGAUGUGGCAGAGUUCGUUGAGAAUUCGUUAUGCCUUUUCCAGAAAUAUCAGAAUAAAAGGCGCUGGUGAUUAGCCCCUGAUCUGAGAUCAAUAUCUUCUUCAUUUCUUGUUCAUUUUGUUGGAAAUUUGGUUCUCUGUGAUCCUUGUAAUUGCCUCUUCAUAAUCAACCUGUAUCUAGAUUGUUAUGAUCAACAAAAGAGCAGUUGUUUCCUUCAUUGAUUUGUGUACUUGAAACAGUGCUCUGUGUUCUAUUCUUGGAAUUGCUUUCUUGUUUGGUUGAUCUGGUUUGAUUCUUUCAAGUCCGAUUCAUCAAGUUCUUCACGAAUUAACUUGUGUAGCCAUUAAAGUUUCAACAGCAACAGAUUAAAUAUAUCUACAAGACUACAUUAAUCCUAAUGGCAUGGUAGCAUCUCCAUGCAACAUUACAUUAACAUUUCAUCAUCAAUCAAUUUUGAUGAUAUGAUAUUAAAAACAUUGACUUCAUAAUUUAACAUAUAAAGAAAAAGUAAUACUUAUUUGAUGAGUAUGAUAGACAGCAAAUAUGGAUCAUGCAAUAAUGAAACAUGUAUUUAUAGAAAAAUGUUUGGGAGUAAAAUGAUGCUAUAAAGUUUAAUAUUAGUUGCAAGAAAAAAAAAUUGGCAAUUAAGAUUAACAGAUACAUAUGCAAUGCUUCGAGUUUAUUUUAUGACUUCCGUAACGAUUUUGUAACUACAUAUUGAUUAGAAGUUCGAUUAAUUUUGACCAAAAACUCUAGAGCAAGUCGAAAAGAGAUUUGAUUUUUUGUAUACAAAAAAAAUAAUCAAUAAAAGCAAGCUCUGGUGUUGUUAAGCUAAGGAUACAGGGGUUAAAAUUACUCACCACUCAAUGGAAUCCACCAAAGAGAUACAGAGUUUGAUAAUAACUCAAAGUUCAUCCAAUUUCCAAAAUUAAUCUCUGUCCUUUGGUUACAACUACAUAAGCUUAAAUAGCUUUCUUGGAACAAUCCUCCAAGCAUAGAUUUACUACAAAGAAACCCUUCAAAUAACUUGACUUUAAAGACCAACAUUAAAGCUAGACAUUAAUAAAACAUUGGUAUGCUUAAAACACAACAAAAAAAAUUAAAAAAAAAUCCAAGUCCCGAAAUAUUCUUCUUGACUCAAAACUGAACAGUCUGCACUUAACUGAUCAUAACUUACUGUAGAAAACUCCAAAUUUAGAUUAGUAAAAUUCAUUGGAAAACUAACAGAAAUAUCUUUCCAAUGAUGUAUGGCUCGAAAAUUAAUUCGAUCUCAUGCAGUACAGUUGAAUUCCCAAAGAUGCCCCUUCUGCACAGAAAUUCUGCUCACUUGAUUAAUGUAAGAACUUGAGCUGCACUUGGUAUAACUUGAUUACCAAAUAUUUCAAACGCCCGUGUUAUUUUCACUGGUGGCCGUAGGUCUCAUGACAGACUGAACCACGUUGUCUCUGUUUUCCCUGUGAUUUUGUCUCUGAUUCUUCUUGUUCUUUCUUCUUGAUUCUAUUUCUUGGAAGUUUAAGUCUGGUUUGUUGAAUAUUGAGUUGAUUCAGAUUCGGUUCGGUGCUUGUGCAUCUUGUGUUAGUCUCAUUCAAGAUCUUGGGCAGAGUCUUUGGUUUGACAAGUUAAUUAGAUCGUCCAAAGCUCUACGUUUUUUUUUUUUUUUUAAACAAAAAAGAAGCACAGUCUGCUAUUAAUACUGUAGCAUGUUAGCUACUAUAAAAGCUCGUGUCUAAUUACCAAAUAAAUUCCACUUUAACAAAGAAUAGAAGCUAAUUUUAUUUUUUCUUUUUGUUAUUGAAGUUACCUCGCAAACUUCUCGGAAGCUUAUUACAAAAUUUCCUUUUACUCUAGGAUCUCUUGAAUGGUCCUGCAAUUUGUAUUCUUUUAUGUGGGAUUGGUUUUUUCUUUAAACAAAAUUUCAAGGAUAAGAAACCUUUCCCAUUGAAUACCAACUUUGAAUUUUAUUAUCAUUUGAACUUAGAAAACUGCAGAAACAAAGCGCGUUCAUAGCACCAGCUAAGCUAGCUGUGUCUUGGUACCAUGCUGGUUCUAUUUUUACUUUAUUAAAUAUAUACAAAAUUAAAUCUCCUGAGCCUCUAGCUUCACUAGUUUCCAACUUGAAAUUAAAACGCGGAAUUAAUGGCAUUGGAGUUCGUUAUUUAAUUUUGCUUUGGUUCAUGGGGAAUCAGAUGGCCAUCCAAUUUUUUGUCUAUUUUAAGUACUAUUGGCCACUAAGUAGCUUGCUUAUAUAUGUGUAUUGGGAUGUCAUAGGCCUUAAAGCUGAAAAUCAAUCCCCAAUCUAAAGUGAAAAACAGUAGCUAGAACAUAAUCUAUGUUUUGAUGUCUUAGUUUAUAAGCUCAAACAAUUAGUAGUAUAUAGAAAAUGCCCGAUAGAACCCAAAACUUGUAGUGAUUUUUAGUUUCGAAAUUCAUUUCAGAAAAUCUGUUCCGUUCAACACAUUCAACUAAACUCUAGCCAUGUACUUGUAUGUAUACAGGUAGAGCACUAGGGCAACAAAGGAGUCCAUCCUUAAGGCCUUGUCUAAGACUGGUUGUCUUUUUCAUGAGCUUCUGGCUUUCCAGCUUGCUGAGCGACGUACACAUAAAGAGGUUAUCCUUUUCUUUUUUUCUUUGUUUUUAUAUGACAGAAUCCAUUUUUGAAUAUAUAUAUAUAUAUAUGUUUAGGUACACAAACACACACAUGAAUAUGCAUGUUUUUAUGAGUUCAUUUAAGUAUAUCCAAUGUUGAAUAACUCUUCCAUUUGAACUUGACAGUAAUCAGGUAGUUGAUAUUUAUGUUACAAAAAUUGGAAGUGUUAGAUAUGAGACUCAAAUCUGAACUUGAGAACACAUACGACAAGUCACGUGGAUCUUUGUAUUAAAUGUGACAUGUCAUGCGUAGGAGUUCACGGAGCUGUAUGACAUUCUUGCUCUGUCGGGAAAACGAGUAAGUAACACACGUGACGUAACACGUGCAUAACUUACUCAAAACGACAGGAGUUUGUGCCGCUUUGUGCUCAAGAGCUUGUGAAGGUGUAACACGUGGCUACCAGAGGUUCAAAAGGCCGUUAAAGGUUGUUAUGACGCGGGCAAAAACUGGGGUUCUUCACAAGCAGCCCAGGUGGCGUUAACAGCUGACUGGUGAAGGGUCUUUCUAGAUCCUUUUCUUACUAUAUAUAUGCCUUUAUGGUGAGAUCUCGCGUAGAGUGAUUCUGUAACACCUUCUUAAGAACUUUGUAUCUUUAAUAAGCUCAGAUAGUGGAAUUCUUCUUCUCCUUCACAGUAGAUGUAGGCUCACUCUAUGGCCGAACCACUAUAAAUCAUUUAGUGGAACUCUCCUUCUCCUUCACAGUGGAUGUAGGCUGACUCUGUGGCCGAACCACUAUAAAUCAUUGGUGUCAAGUGUGUGUGUAUUUUUGUCUCGGUUCUCUUUGAGUUUCUUGCUUUGGUUACAACUGAUUCAUCAGCCAUUAAAGCUAAGUAUAUUCUGAAAUCUUGAGUUCAUAAAGGUCGUUCUUGGGGGGUCUAAAUUGGUGCUUAAUCCGGUUUAGUUUCAACAAGAAGCAACAAAAGCAAUUCAGAAUCAUGCAAGGACUUGGAUUUUUUUGUUAAUUCACUGGGCAUAUGUUUAUCCAACCUCUGAUUUUUCUUAAUAUGUCUCAGUAGUUCAUUUCACGCCACUUUUAGCCGCUCCAUUGGCAUUUUCUGCCAUUUGCUUUUGUUCAUUGGAGCAAGUUAGCUUAUUAAAUUGCUUUUCGAUAAAUGUUCUUCAGAGGGAAUGUGAAAAGGCCAAAUGAACCGAGAUGAUCGGGUUUUCUAGAUCAGCCAUCUCUGUCCUCAACGGUGCUGAACCGUCAAUUACUGAGACACCAAACUCUGACCUGAUUCAUAUGGGAUGUAGACCAAAGCUUCUUGCCAUACCAUCUCUGGUCAAAGCUGCUAUCUUUGAAAGUUUUGCAGGACAAAACAUGUCGGAGUCAGAAAUUGACGUCACCCCUAGCAUAAAACGGUGUAUCAAGAGCAAUUUUGGUUUCCCAGUCGAUACAGAUACAGAAUUCAUAUAAGCAGGUUGCUCUCAAUCUCUGUUUAAUAAGCUUCCUCUGCUGUAUCCUAGAACGUUAUGCUUCCCAGCUGGCUAGAAUGGGAACUAUGUUUCUGCUGCAAAAUUUUUGAAAGCGAGCAUUGUGAAUAUCCCGACUGUGUAUGAAGUGGGCCUUAAGAAGACAGAGAGGACACUUGUGACAAUACUCGAGACUGUAAAGAAGCCGUGGGUAUACAUUUCUGGUCCAACAGUCAAUCCAACUGGCUUGCUUUAUAGCAACAAAGAGAUAGAGAAUAUAUUAACUGUUUGUGUAAAAUAUGGGCCAAGAGUUGUGAUUGAUGCUUCAUUCUCGGGAUUGCAAUUCAAAUACGAGGGUUGGGGUGGCUGCAAUCUGGAAGGCUGUUUAUCGAAGCUGUAUCGUCUCUCUCUGUGUCUCUGCUGGAGGGCUGUCUCCGAAGAUGCUUACUGGAGCCCUCACAUUUGGAUUUCCGGUUCCAAACCAACGUCAUUUAGUUGAUGCAUUUAGUAGCUUUCCGGGAUUAAGAAUAUAUUUUAUGCUAUGAAGAAUACAUUUUUGAUAAAUUAACCUCAAUUCUGAAUUUUAAUUUAGAGAAUGUCGAGAAGAGAUUUGAUUUUUCAUAUAGAAAAAAAUUAGACAUGAAAUAAGUCAAAAUCAAUUACAAGAACAACAAUAAGAAUGUAUUUUUUAAAAGCCACAAAUACAUAAAAUAUAAAUUUAGUUUAAGAUUAGGUAAUUAUUAAUUUGCAUAGUAAGAGGUUCUCGUUGGAGAAAUCCAUUAACCUUCGGCUAAUUUGAUGCAAGGUAUAAUUUUGCAAUGCCCAAUAAUAUAUAGCUGUAUGGUAUUUCUGUAUUAUAUAUACUCCUAAUGAAAAUGAAGCAAAUACGUAAUACUACUACUAUGACAUAACUUUCAUGAUUGCCAACUGCCAAAACCAGCCACCUCUCAUACGUGCCUUAUUGAGCAUGGAAACACCUUAUAUUAUAAUUUCCGUUCACCCAUAGAAGAAUUUCAGGGCCAUUAAUUCAACAAUUACCAAACCAAUAUCCCAAUGAUAGUUGGAUUACUAAUCUUAGCAUUAAAAGAUCUACAAUUUUUAUUUGGCCAAAAUAAAGGUUUUCUUACUGCCUUCUUGAUCUUUUCCUGCCUGGUGAUUCCUGAAUGUUCCUCCCAUUCUCAUAUGCUGAGUCGCUUGCUGAGAUGAUAAAUACUCGAGGGUCCUUCCAUAAGACAAUUCAGCAGACACCUGAUUCAUUCUAUCAAACAUCAGCAUCACUAAUAACUAAAUGGUGUAAGAUAGUCUGGUUUGAAAAUUCUAUAUAAAUCAAAUUUUUAUUUUUCAUCAUUAUGGUUAAUGGCUUAGCAAAUGCAGGAGUACGGAUCAGACAAAAUGAAGCACUUUCUCUCGUAUUAAGCUUUAUUAGUCGUUGAAGCUAACAAAUUUUAAAACAAGUCAAAACAGUUCCAACUCAGAAUCAGUAGGCCGUAAUUGGGUUGUUAUAAAUAUUUCAAAGUUUCAGUUUAAUUUAAUUGUGUAUGCACAAACUAACUUUAUCACUUCUUUCAUAUUAAUAUUCAUAAAUUUCAACCUUAUUUUAUGUUGAUGCACAAAAUGUUUUUUUGUUAUAUAUAUAUUCAAAUAGUCAAAUUUCUUCUUCUUUACUCCAGGAUCCAGCUCUGUACCCCACUUUUUUGUCGUCAUUCUACCCCGCUGUUAGAUUUUAAUUCCGUUGAUCUAAUGGUUGGGAUUUGUAAGUGAAUAACGAAGUGCUGUUUGGCUACCGUCUGAUAGCAAAUCUGAAGCAAAUGUAAUCACCACCAUGCCGGUAUAUUCAUUCAAAUAUUAAACGUACAGAGAAGAAAGCAAAUUGUGGCAGGAUAGCGAAAAUUGCAAACGGUCAUUCCCAACACGAACACCUGUGGCUGUUUUCCUUUAAUUUUCUUCUUUGAAUUUUCCUUUGAUUAAUCAUUAGAAAAACUGCUUUUUUUUUUUCAAAAUCAUGUGUUAUUAACAUUUACAUAGUUAAUUCAUCAAAAUCAAAUGGUUGUUAUCUACGAAAAGACAUUGAAAAUUUCCUUGUCACAAGUCUUUUCGUAUUACAAAAGCAUAUUUAACAAAAUUGCACUCACAGAUUCUAUGAUUCUAAUUUCUUUGACUUGAUUUUAGUUUUUGCUGAACAUAUAUGUAUCCCAUAUAAAGUGUUAGUGAAUUUUUCAUUUCUCUAGCAAGGAGGUUCUGCACGAAUAAACAACAGCAGAAAAUAUAUAUAUAUAAAACGUGAUACGAGUGUUUGUACUUUGCUAAUGGCGUUGCACUCUCCAAACAUGAAGAGUGCAUUAAGGUGCAUUAAGCAUUGGCUGAUUAGAAUCAUUCAUGUUAAGAAAUAAAAAUAUUAAUAGUGAUGACUCAAAGGAAGUCCCGUGUUUUGAGUUUGACUAAAAUAAUCUGAAUAAUUCAAAAUAAUCCAUCAGGCCAAAGGAAGUCUCGUGUUGAACUGCAUUGGGAAGGCAGAGCAGCCUCUGUUUUUUCACUAUAAUACUAAGGAUUGACUUCAAUUGAGAAGUCAGGCCAAUUGAAGAAGCUCCCCUGUUUUUGACUGAAACAUACUCCGAACAAUUUAUCAUUAAAUAAAUUAUUCAAAAUCUCCUUUAAUCGAACCCCCAUGUCUAUGGUUUAAUAAAAUAUUAAAAAGGUACCUAAAACAGUGAAAUUAACACUCAGCUCUUAAAGUUGCCACUUUAUGUAUUGAAAAAUGUACUUGAAAACGAAUGUUGAGAUUUUUUUCCCCAAUGAUUUCAUAAACACAAAAUAAAGAUCAUAUAUACUUUGAAAAUGAAGUUUCAGCAGCUGAGAAAGCUAGCCGUUACUAACAUAUUACACCCACCCACCCCACCAAGAAAUCCAUUAAUCUUGGGUUAAUCUGACACAAGGUAUAAUUUUGCAAUGGCCAAUUAUAUAUAGUUGUAUGGUAUUUCCGUAUUAUAUAUACUCCUAAUGAAAAUGAAGCAAGUACGUAAUACUACUACUAUGACAUAACUUUCAUGAUUGCCAACUGUCAAUACCAGCUACCUUUUAUACGUGCCUUAUUGAGCAUGGAAACAUCUUAUAUUAUAAUUUCCGUUCACCCAUAGAAGAAGUUCAGGGCCAUUAAUUCAACAAUUGCGAAACCAAUAUCCCAAUAAUAGUUUGAUUACUAAUCUUAGCAUUAAAAGAUCUGCAAUUUUUUUUUGGCCAAAAUACAUGCUUUCUUACUGCCUUGUUGAUCUUAUCCUGCCUGGUGAUUCCCGAAUGUUCUUCUCAUUCUCCUAUGCUGAGUCGCUUGCUGAGAUGAUGAAUGCUCGAGGGUCCUUCCUUGAGACAUUUCAGCGAACACCUAAUUCAUUCGGUCAAACAUCAGCAUCACUAAUCACUAAAUGAUGUAAGAUAGUUCUGGUUUGAAAAAUCAAUAUAAAUCAACCACCUUAGAUUUUCUUAGUCUCAGAGCACAAUGGGCGAUGAUUUGAUGAGAAAUACUAAUAACAUGCAUCCCCUGUAUUAGUUAGAGCUGCUUGUCAUUUUCUUUUUUCUUUUGGGUACUGUUUUAAAUUUUUAAUCAAUCGGAUUGAGCUGCAUGUUUGCUUUCAGUCCAAACUGAAAUCAGACAUUAAGUAUUUUUGCUAGAAUGAAUGCAACCAAGAUUCUAUGGGAUAUGUAUGAAGAUGAUGUAAUAAAGUGCUUUUGAUAUAUUCCCCUAGUCGGUUUACUUCACUAACCAUUAACGAGCAAAUCCUCCCAAUGACCCUCAAAACUCUUGUGCACAAUUAAAAUAAUUUCAAUUAUAUAUAUAUAUAUAUAUAUAUAUAUAUAUAUAAAUAAACUCUCAAAUAUGUUAUUUGAUAAUCACCAAAAAAAAAAACAAUUCACCCCAAUAAAUCACAUUACAGUCUAUGUUGCAAGUCUUUUUAGGACUAAUUCAAAGAGAAAAUGCGAAGGACAUGUAAUUGAAUUUGGGACACAGAAUAUAUUCCCAAUUACCCUUUAGUGUAAACAGUUCCACUUCAGAUAUAUAUAAUGAUGAUGAAAUUUUGUUUUCUCAUAGCAAUCAUUCUAGUGUUUUACAAUGAGUAAUUGGUUCAAUAUUAACACAACACUAUUUUAACAUGUGACAUAUUCUAUCGUAGUGUGCUUCAACUCAUACUUCUAACUCAAAUAGAAAAGUUUCCAUUUUAAUUUUAUUCAAUCUAAUGGUGCACGUUUUUAGUCAAAAAGCCACAAUAAGUCAUCGUUAUUCUUCUACUAUUGAAAUGAAUAUAUCAAAUGGAUGAAAAUUAAAUUAAAAGAUUGAAAUGACUAUGUGGAAGAAAAUUGAUGUAAAAUGUUGAAGUUAAGAAGCCCUCCGAAUUAUAGAAGAAACGAAAUAUAUUGACACACAACAGUUUAUUUAUUAAUUAAGAGAGACAAAAUAUAUAAAUACAAACAAAGAAAAUCUCUUGCAUAUAUCAAACUUACGCUCACGUAAUUGACAGGUAAUAACAAUACCCAUUUUUUUUAUUUCAUAAAACAUAGUAUGAAAGAGAACACUUCAUGCAUUUAACCACUAUAAUUAGGAUUUCUCUCAUAUUGAGAGACUAUUAAAAGAUCAAGAUUGUCAUCUUUUAUAUCCUCGUCACGACAAUACUAAACACACGAUGAUGCCUUCAACCCUCCAACCCAUCGAUCUUACCUGAAAAAAUUAUAAUUAAUAGGAAACUUAUUCACAAAUGCAUAUAUUUAGAAAAGAAUUACAAAUGAACGAACUCAGCCUAAAAAUUAACCUGCACAAGCAAAGAAAUUAUAUACCAUUUUUGACUUGCGAACAAAAGCGAAGCAAUAAUGCAUGGUAUAGACAUAAGCCAUUUUUAAAAGACUAUAUUCAUCAUGCGGAAGUUAGAAAACUUACCUCCUGCCAUAGUUAUCAGAUUUAAUUGUACACAACUUUUCUACUAGAAUGCAAACAAAACCAACGAAAACAAGCGAUGCUUUGUAAUCAGAAUUUUCUAGUCUAUCUAACACUUAAUUCCUGAGAGUAGAUGGUAUACACAAGCUCUGUUGUUAGACCAGGGACCCUCAAUAUUUUUUUUGAAAAAACUUGACCGUAAGUCAUCUCCCAUCAAGAUGACAUGUUUAAAUAAAAGAGGAAGUUAUGAGCCAUUAUCCCUUUGAUUUUAGGAAACCACCCGUAACGUGUAUGAGAGAUAUUAAGAAGAGUUGUUUUAUCUUUAUUCCAAUUUUAAACCAAAACCAACGUUUUGAAAUUAAACUAGAUAAAGAUAAUUAUCAAUUUAAAUUAGAAAACUAAUAAUUAAAAUAAAUUAGAUGGCCAUAUUAUACACGUUUUGAAAACGUGUCUAACAAUUUUUACUUUAUUGCAAAUGUGAUCAUAUGGCCUGAUGCGGUCCACAAAAUAUAUAGUUGUCAAAAAGAAGACGAACAAAGCAAUUGAUCAUAAGCCAUUUUUACUUUAUUGCAAUAAAGCAUGAUUAACGCUUAUUGCAAUCACUAAAGAAAGAGAGAUUCUAGAGUACAUAGAAUUAUUACGCUUGAUUAAUAUAUAUAUAUAUAUAUAUAUAUAUAUAUAUAUAUAUAUAUAUAUAUAUAUAUAUAUAUAUAUAUAUAUAUAUAUAUAUAUAUGUAAUUUCCCUAACGAAUAUGUCUAAUUCAGGAACUAAUUACUUUUUCAGGCCUAUGAAGUCAUUUCAAUAUUUUAAUUUUUUAAUCAUUUAUUUACUAUUUACAUAUUAAUAUUUUGAUUGUUAAUUUUUUACAUUUCCAAUUACUUAACAUAUAUCAAUUAUUUUUGUUGCCUUUACAAAGUCGUUACAAGAAUAUUAUGUUAGAGUGGAGAUACUUUCAUACUUUCAUGAGUUAACGGCGGUCAAUGGUUAAAGAUAACGAGUUUUGGGGUAGAUUGAUGUUUUCAAUAGUAAGAGGGGGAAAUUUGAAGAUUGUCAAUUCCCUAAGGGUAAUUAGAAAUUAACCCAUAUAUAUAAUAGGUACAUUUGAUAUGAAACGUAUAAUUUAAUUAAAUAUAUCUAUUAAUUACAUUUUAAUUUUUUAAAAUAAAUAUACACAUAAUAUAUAUGUAUUAAUUUAUAUAAAAAUAUAUAAAGAAAAUUAUUAUGUAGCACAAAUUCCCGCCCUAUUAAAGAUCUCAUGAUAUCCAAAAAAAUAAUUAUAUAUUUAUAGCAAAGUGUUGGUAUAUUUUGAAGGAACGAGUUCGGUACGGAAAUGUAAUAGUAUGUGUUUUUAAUGACGUUUAUAAAGUCAUUAAAUGUCAAAAGGAAUGAAUUUAGUGAUCAAUUAAUAAUUAGAUAGGUAAACAUGAAAUCUCUCGGUCUAUUAAUGUAGUAUAGUUUCUCCCUCAGUUAUUAUCAUUAAAUUAAUUUGUAAAUCUCGUUUCCCGCUACUCCUUCCAAAUAUACAUGAGUAGUGAUAUUUGGCCCUUUUAUUAUAACUCACAAUCUCCUAUUUUUUUGUUAACCCCAUUAAAUAUUUUUAAAUAAAUUUUUAUCUCUCAACAUAUCACACAUAAUUAUGGAUUUACAUUUAUUAUAAUUUCUAUCUUUUUUUCCAAGCACUCACUAUAUAAAAUUUAUAAAAUCUAUUUAAAAAAAAAACUCUCAUAAUCACUAUAAUCUCUUUUUUUAAAAAAAAAAAAUUUAUCCGUCGUUGUCAUAAUCAUUAAAAAGAAAAAGGCACCAUCCUUUAUUGAAAUCUCUCGGUCUAUUAAUGUAGUAUAUUUUCUCCCUCAGCUAUUAUCAUUAAAUUAAUUUGUAAAUCUCCUUUCCGGCUACUCCUUCCAAAUAUACAUGAGUAGUGAUAUUUGGCCCUUUUAUUAUAACUCACAAUCUCCUAUUUUUUUGUUAACCCCAUUAAAUAUUUUUAAAUAAAUCUUUAUCUCUCAACAUAUCACACAUAAUUAUGGAUUUACCUUUAUUAUAAUUUCUAUCUUUUUUCCAAGCACUCACUAUAUAAAAUUUAUAAAAUCUAUUUUAAAAAGAGAAAAAAACUUUCAUAAUCACUAUAAUAUCUCUUUUCAAAAAGAAAAUUUAUUCGUCGUUGUCAUAAUCAUUAAAAAGAACAAGGCACCAUCCUUUAUUGAAUAUUGAGUACUGUAAAUUAAUUUCUUUCACGAUUACAAAAAAAGAGUAUACAAUAUUUGAGAAAAAAAUAAUGAUUUAAAAAGUUAAAAAAAUUAGAGUUUAAGAAAUUAGAUUAGCUAAAUUCGAUAUUAAUAGAAAUUGUCAUAUGAGUGCACUUAAAAGUUAUUUACCCUUUUAAAUCAUUUCACAUAAUAAUAAAAUAUGUACUAACAUAAAAGUGAUUAGUAGAGACUGAUGAGAUAUAAUGAGUCAAAUAUCAAAUUCUACAUAUAUAUAAUAGCUAAUAUAAUUGUUUAAAUAGGAUUGUAAUUAAACUCAUUAAUUAACUACCUUUAAUUUUUCAGUAGGCGAUAUUUUUGAAACGUGAUGAUCAUGUGUGAAUAUUAUUCGAAAGUAAUGAUUUUACUAAAAUCUUCGUCUACAAUGAUGUUACAGUACUGAUGCUCAUUUAUUAGCUGUUGUCUUACCUCUUAAUUAAUUUUUUGCAUUUGCACUUGGAAUUAAUCAUUUGGCCGUGAUAGUAAUGCUACAGCCAGCGGAAUUUGAGCCUCCCUUCUUCAAUGCCUGGUACGAGAAUGAAGCUAACAAUCGGGAUGGACAGAACAUUCUGUUAUGGCAAACGUGUUUACUUCACUUUCAUUAACAAGACUUAAGCAACCCACAAAACCAGAGUUUGCAGAAACAAGAUUAAGAAACAAAACAAAAGAAGUAUCAAGCAAUCAAAGAUACUCAACACACCAAGAAUCUAACGUGGUUCAGCUCCACAAAGGAACCUACAUCCACGGCUGUAAAACCAGCAAGGGCAGAAGCUUUAUUGAACAACAAGAAGAUCGUUUACAACUGAGUCACCAAUUACAGAUUAAAGCCUAUCGAAUGUUUUCUCUCUGUAAAUCCUCUCUGUUUUUCUAUAUAUGUUUUACUAGCUUAGAGACAACUUAUAUAUGUAAGCUUCUCACGUGUGUUCCACUUGCAAUGAGUCAGUCUGUUAUUUAACUAACUAACCAACUCUUGACUUGAAUCCCACUUAUGCCAGCUCAUACGACACCUCAGCAUGUCCAUAACAGAUUAUAACUAAUCUCGGCUUCACAAAUCUCCACCUUAGUUCUAAUCUGAUUAUGCUUCUCCCUUCACUGCAACACAUCACCAGAAAGCUUGUUUCAUAAGCUAACACUUCCAAUCAGAUUCAGUAAGUCCCUGAACCUGACUGAUGGCAAAGGCUUGGUUAACAUGUCAGCUGGAUUUACUUCAGAUGGCACCUUAACUACAUUUACUACUCCUUUGCUGAUUUCAUCCCUUAUAAAGUGCAUUCUAACAUCAAUAUGUUUAGUUCUCUCAUGAUACUUAGGAUUUUUACUUAGCUGAAUAGCACUUAAGCUAUCACAGCCAACUACAACAACUUCUUGUUUAAACCCCAACUCAGAGACUAGUCCUCUCAGCCAUAUUGCCUCUUUGACAGCUUCUGUAAGUGCAAUAUAUUCAGCUUCUGUUGUUGAGAGGGCAACCACUGAUUGCAGGGAAGACUUCCAACUUAUAGCACCUCCACACAUGGUAAACACAAAACCUGUGAUGGAUCUUCUUCUAUCUUUGUCUGCUGCAUAGUCUGAGUCCACAAAUCCAGCUACUUCAGGUGAUGCUCCACUUAAUUUCCCAAACAUAAUGGCAGUGACAGCAGACCCUUUGAGAUACCUUAGUACCCAUUUCACUGCAUUCCAGUGACCCUUCCCUGGAUUCCCCAUAAACCUACUGAUGACUCCAACUCCAUGAGCCAAGUCAGGUCUGGUGCACACCAUGGCAUACAUGAUGCUGCCAACUGCACUGGAGUAAGGUAUCUCCUUCAUGUAGUUGAAAUCAUCAUCAGUGGUAGGUUCCAGUGACUUGGAUAACUGAAAGUGAGUUGACAGAGGUGUUGAAACAGGCUUUGAAUCUUCCAUAUUGAACCUGGUUAAUACCAUCUUCACAUAAUCCUCCUGAGAUAGAUACAAAACUUUGGACUCCUUAUCUCUCUUUAUCUGCAUUCCUAGAAUCUUUGUAGCUGCACCCAAAUCCUUCAUUUCAAAUUCAGUGCUGAGCUCCACCUUAAGCUUCUUUACUUCUUCCUUUUGUUUACAUGCAAUAAGCAUGUCAUCCACAUACAGAAGUAAGUAGAUGCCUCUACCAUUUGUCAGGAAUUUAAAAUACACACAAUUAUCAAAUCUGCUCCUACAGUAUCCAUGGCUUAGCAUGAAUUCAUCAAACUUUAAAUACCAUUGCCUUGGAGAUUGCUUGAGGCCAUACAAACUCUUCUUCAAUAAGCACACUUUAUCCUCUGAUCCUCUCUCAAUGAACCCUUCUGGUUGUGCCAUGAAAAUCUCUUCAUCAAGACUGCCAUGUAAAAAGGCAGUUUUAACAUCCAUCUGCUCCAGCUCCAGGUCAUGAUAUGCAGAGAGGGCCAGCAGCAACCUAAUUGAGCUAUAUUUGACUACAGGUGAGAACACUUCAUUGAAGUCAACUCCCUCUCUCUGUGUGAAUCCCUUUGCUACAAGUCUGGCUUUAUAUCUUGGUGGUUCAUUUUCUGAAGCUCCAGCCUUCAACUUGAAAAUCCACUUGCUGCCAACUAGUUUCUUGUUAGAUGGUCUGUCCACUAAGAUCCAAGUAUUAUUUUUCUUUAAAGAGACUAUUUCAUCCUGCAUUGCAGCAUACCAUUUCAGCUUAUCCUCACAUCUCAUAGCUUCUUUAUAGCUCAAAGGUUCUCCACCAGUUACUUCAUCACCUACUGUUAGUGCAUAGGAAAUGAGGUCAGCUAUGCCAUACUUCUUUGGCAUUUUGAUGGCUCUCCUCUCUCUGUCCCUAGCAAGCUGAUAUGUUUCCAGUUCUGGUGGUUGUUUUCUUUCCUUGGUCUGGUCUGAUGGUUGUUCAGGAGGCUUACAACUAUCAGAAUGCUUUACCAUCUGUCCAGCACUUUCUUCUUCCUCUGUUUCAGCAGCUUCAAUCUCAGUUUCUACCUUUGACUGGAGCAUUUGCUCUUCAUCAAAGGUGACAUCCCUGCUGAUUAAUAUCCUAGAUGGUUUCCCAUUAAGGGUCCAUAUCUUGUAUCCAUUAAUGCCCUCAGGAUAUCCCAAGAAAUACCCUUUAACAGCCCUUGGUUCAAGCUUACCUUGCUUUAAGUGUGCAUAAGCUGGACACCCAAAGAUCCUCAAAUUGCUCAAGUCUGGUGGCUUUCCAGACCAAAGCUCCUAAGGUGUCUUGAAACCUAAAGCUGAGGAUGAGCUUCUGUUUAUCAGGUAAGCAGCUGUGGUGACUGCUUCUGCCCAAAAACCUUUGGAUAUGUUUGCAUUCAGCAGCAUGCAUCUUACCCUCUCUAUUAUGGUUCUGUUCAUCCUUUCUGCCAGUCCAUUUUGUUGUGGAGUGUAGGUGACAGUUCUAUGCCUUGCAAUGCCCUUAUAUUUGCAGAAAUCUUCAAACUCUUUUCUGCAAUACUCUAGCCCAUUGUCUGUUCUGAGCCUUUUUAUUUUCUUACUAGUUUGGUUUUCAAUGAGAGUAACCCACUCUUUGAACUUCCCUAGUGCUCCACUUUUGUGUUUCAACACAUAGAUCCAAACCUUCCUAGAGUAGUCAUCUAUGAAGGACACAAAGUACCUAGCUCCACCUAAAGAUGGAACUUGUGAUGGCCCCCAAAGGUCUGAGUGGAUGUAAUCUAGUGUCUGUUUGGUUUCUUUUCUCCCUGAACUGAAUUUCAGUCUUGUGGCCUUCCCAAACACACAUUUCUCACAGAAUUCUAAGGAAGUAACUUUAUCAUUACCAAGCAAACCUUGAUUGCUUAGCUCCUUGAGGCCUCUUUCACUGAUAUGAGCUAGUCUCAUGUGCCAGAGUUUGGUUUUAUCUCUGGUCACACUUGCUGAGAUCCCUUGCACAGGUGAGGAUCCAACUAGUAUGUACAGCCCAUUUUUCCUAACCCCUUUCAUAACAAUUUUACCCUGAUCCAAGACCUGUAUCUCUCCAUUUUCAGCCUUAAUAGUACACCCUGAUUGGUCAACCAUUCCUAGAGAUAUCAGGUUUCUUUUCAGUUCAGGGACAAAUCUCACUUGGUGUAAAUCUCUAGUGACACCAUCAUGCAAUUUUAAGCUAAUGGUUCAUAUCCCAGCCACCUUGCAAGCUAGGUUAUUUCCCAACAACACCUUUCCACCAUUUACACUUUCAAAGGUCUUAAAGAAACUUUUAUUUGGACACAUGUGGAAUGAGCAACCAGAGUCCAGAAUCCACUCACCAGUUGGGUGCCUCUCUGCAGCCACCAAGACAUCUGCUUCAUCAUAGUCACAUUCAUCUUCAGAGGCAACAACAGCCUUUCCAUUUGAUUUCUUUUAUAGUUCUUCUAAUUUCUUUUUCUCGAAGCAAUCUUUAAUGUAGUGUCCCUCUUUCUGACAGAAGUAACACUUCCUCUUCUUCUUUUUCUUUUCAGCUUUAUCUUUCUUGUUGUUGUUCUUUGUUUGCUUAUUGUGUUUCUUUUCUGGCUUUCCUUUGACAACCAAACCUUCUACAUUAUUUUGAUCUUUCAUGUCUGAUCUUUUCUUCAAAUCCUUGGAUUCCAGAGCAUCUUUGACAUCUUUCAAAGAGAGGGUUUGUCUGCCAUAGAGGAGGGUAUCUACAAAAUGUUCAUAAGAUUCUGGAAGAGAACUUAAGAGGAUGAGUGCCCUGUCUUCAUCUUCAAGAAUUAUGUUGACAUUCUCGAGAUCAAGAAUGAGUUUGUUGAACUCAUCCACGUGAUCUUUCAUGGCUACUCCAUCUUUCAUUGAGAAUGUGUAUAACCUCCUCUUCAUAUACAGUCUCUUAGCCAAUGAUUUUUUCAGAAACAUUUCUUCUAACUUGCUCCACAAACCAGCUGCAGAUCUUUCUUUGGAUACUUCUCUCAAGACUUCAUCAGAGAGGUGCAAGAUAAUGGUGCUAUGGGCCUUAUUGUUUAUGAUCCUCUGAUCUGCACUAAAGCUUGAAGAGCCUUCUCCAUUCUCUUUCUUGGCCAUCGGAUCUUCUCCAUCAUCGAGGGCACUGUCAAGCCCUUGUUGAAUAAGUAUCGCUCUCAUCUUCAAACUCCAGAGAUAGAAAUCAUUGUCUCCAUUGAAUUUUUCAAGAUCCACUCUGGUGCUUGCCAUCUUUGAGUCUGAUCCCAACCGACACCAGGCUCUGAUACCAGUUUGUUAUGGCAAACGUGUUUACUUCACUUUCUUUAACAAGACUUAAGCAACCCACAAAACCAGAGUUUGCAGAAACAAGAUUAAGAAACAAAACAAAAGAAGUAUCAAGCAAUCAAAGAUACUCAACACACCAAGAAUCUAACGUGGUUCAGCUCCACAAAGGAACCUACAUCCACGGCUGUAAAACCAGCAAGGGCAGAAGCUUUAUUGAACAACAAGAAGAUCGUUUACAACUGAGUCACCAAUUACAGAUUAAAGCCUAUCGAAUGUUUUCUCUCUGUAAAUCCUCUCUGUUUUUCUAUAUAUGUUUUACUAGCUUAGAGACAACUUAUAUAUGUAAGCUUCUCACGUGUGUUCCACUUGCAAUGAGUCAGUCUGUUAUUUAACUAACUAACCAACUCUUGACUUGAAUCCCACUUAUGCCAGCUCAUACGACACCUCAGCAUGUCCAUAACAGAUUAUAACUAAUCUCGGCUUCACACAUUCUUUAGACAUAGAGGUCAAAUUAAGAUAAGGGGGGUCAAGAUUUUUUGUUAAAUUUUAUAAGAUAUGAUGAUGGUUGCUUGUAAUAUGUUGUAAUGGGCAAACUAUGGAAGCAUAACAUCUGCAAAGACUUGCUUUUGUCUUUAAUGGACAACUAGCAAGUAAAAACCUUGCUUGAUAUGCUGCUUUUAGAAACCAAUUUGCAAUCCAAUUCAAUAUUACUAUUCAUUUUUCAGGUACAUACAAGUUGGGAAUGCUGUAGCAAUUCCAGUUGGUAUUGUAUUGGGAUACGCUUUUGGUCAAGCUUGCCAAGGAUUAGCCGAUGAUGAUCAGCCAUUGACUAUACUCCCUUUCAAGUUUCCCAAUUGUCUUGCACAGUCAUCUUCAACACUUGCAGAAGAAGAUUCUGAUUGAAAUUGUAAGGAAAACAUAAAUAUGAUUCAUCAAAUUAUACUCUUGUUAGUUGCGAGUUAUUACCAAUUUGAUUUUUAAUUUGCUAUUGAUGUACGGACAAGCAUGUUCAAUGCAUUAUUUGUUAUUGAAGAUGUUUCGAGGUAGGAAUUAGAAUAUGUUGCAUCUUUUAAUUAGUGUUUUAGAUAUAUAUACUUUAUGCUUUUUCAGUCUGUAAUCACAUGUAUCAAAUAAAAGGUUUAGUUUUAGGGUUAAUUUUGGUAUCAAUCAUAAAUGUCUAUAUCAUUAUUGAAAGGGUGUUAAAUUAAAUGCUAAAAGGAUGAAUUUUUUUCCCUCAAGUGUGAGGGAUGUUUAUGAAAGUGACACCAUCAUAUGGCAUGGAGUCAUACUAUUAACAUAUUAUUUGAAUAUUAUUCACCAAAUAUCACAUAAUCAUGCCUUUUAUACAAGUGUAUAUAUGUAGAUGUAGUACAUACUCUUAUAUGUAGCCAUGAGAUCGAAUCAUGUCUUAGUAAAUGAAAAGUUGCUUCUUGUAAUCUUAUACUACGUUCUUUGAUAAAGACUUUCGCUUUUUGCUUUGAAAUGGUAACUAGGGGUGGGCAAAAAAAACCGUAGUCUUAAAAAAACCGAACCGAAUAGACGAUUUUUUCUAAUUCGGUUCGGUUUUUAUUUAAAAAAAAAACCGAAUAUACCGUUUGUAAAAAACAACCGACCCGAAAAACCGAAUUAUUGAUGAAGAUCGGAGAAUGUUGUUGGCGUUUGUUUGUAAUUUUAUUUUUUAUUUUUUGUUGUAAGUUGUAAUUGUUGUUAUUUUUAUUUCUCUUUAUAACAUUAUGAUUAUGUUUAUAUAGAUGGAGUAUUGGAGUUUGGUUAUGUAUUUUGAAAUUUUAAUAUUUCAUAUUUUGGGAGUAUCUUAUUAAUAGUUAGUAAAAUAUUAGUGAUAAAAUGUGUUUUGAAUACUUUGUAUUUAUUGUUAAUAAUUGUAAUAAAAUUAGGAUAAAUUAAUUGUUGAAAAAAAUUAUUACAUUCAUGAGGCCCAAUGGGCUAAAAAUUUAAAAAUUCAAAAUAGGCCCUAUGAGCCCAUAACCAAAAAAACCGAACCGAACCGAACCGAACCGAACCGAUUCGAAAAGAACCGUUUGAGUUCGGUUCUUAUUCGGUUCUACUUAAUUUCGAACCGAACCGAACCGAACCGUGCCCACCCCAAUGACAACUACAUAAUAAAGUAAAGACUUUCGCUUUCAUUCUUUAGUGGCAUUCUAUGAUGAAUUGACACAUUUUGUGACCCAUGCUUAAACCAUGUGGUGCUUUUUAUCAUCAUUAUUCCCAUUUCCAUUCUGCUUUUGGCUUUUAGGAAUUAAGGGUAUGCAACUUGCGAGCUUCUUUUGUCACCAACCCAAAAGGCCAAAACCAAUAAAAGAAAGCAACUCUCCUUCUUGUUCUAUCAUUCAUGUUUCAUUCUCUAGAUUGCCGUGCUCUUUGGUUUAUGAAAACGACAAAAUAUAGAACUUUAAUUAAUUUGAUAUGAUUUCAAAGCAUAAUGAGGAUGCAAUACGACAAAAUAUAAACAUUUAUUAAUUUGAUUAAAUUCCAAAGGAUAAUGAGAAUGAGGGAACAAUGCAUUGGAAAUUGCACUAGAAUUGGAUGUGGAUAAAAAUAAAAUGCGUUUUCUUUGGGGUUUUAAUUCAAAAGAGAGAAAUAUAAGUUGUAUUUUACUAAUUAAUCGAAAAAAAAAUUUAAAAAGUAUUUAUUCGUCAAUGGAAAAAAAAUUAUGAAAAGAUUUAAAACAAAUUUCACCAGUAUUUUCUCAAACCAAGAAUGGUUACUACGAACAUCAGGCAACAAACAGACAAUUUCCAAUUUAAUUAUUAGUUUUAUAUUUAUAUAUAUAUAUAAGUUCGUUUUGAUUUUUUAAUGAAUUAUAUAAGUGGGCCAUUUGUCUAAAGUCAGACAGUCAAUAACCACCGGCAUUGUUAUAUAAAACUUCUGUUUUAAAAUUUUUAACACCUAAUGUGAAAAUAUCCUCAAGGGGCCCUAGACUUUAUAAAAUAUAAUAUUAAAUCUAGUGCUAAAAAAUACUACAACUUAGAUCUACCUUAUAUUCUUGUUAUUACAAGGUGAUAAAAAUCUGUUUGCAAUUUUUGCCAUGUAGUUUGGAUUCAUAAUAAAAACACUAUUUUUUAGAUUUAUUUUGAUGUUCGAACUUGGUAAAAAUAUUUAUUUAAAUUAUUAGUACAUAGCUAGGUUAUUUGAUAAAUACAGGCAAAUUUUCUAACCAAAAUCGUCCAAAGAAGUUGAAAGUGUUUAUUGUUGUUAUUUCAUGACAUUCUAACAAACUGUAAGGGGUCACAGAAAGGUUGGUACCCCUACUUCUUGUUCUUUUUCUUUUCUCACUUUCUCAUAAGUUGACUUUAAAGGAAUACCCAUAAAAAGUGAUUGAAAAAGAUAUUCCACGUAGACUACACCAUCCACUCAGGAUGCACCACGUGUAAAACAUCAUGACCUUUUCUCUUUCUCGGCAUAAAAAUAUUUAAAAAAAUAAAUAUUAAAUAAAUAAAAUAAUAGAUGUAUGUAUAUAUAUGUGUGUACACACGCACGCGCUAAAAUACCGGGAACGAGAAAACAGACUUCCUACUUUCUUCUUUCAAUUUUCUAAGCUCACGCUAGCUUUCUCUCUCUAAAAGUAGGAACCGUAAAUUGAGUGAACGUGCGGAAUGACGGCAGCGACGCCGGCGGCGGAGGCGGUGGAGAAGUUCUUGAGGAAAUGCGAGGCGUCGGGUGACGAGGCGUACGGUGCGUUUCGGUCGGUGUUGGAGAAGCUGGAGGAUCCGAGUAGUCGGACGCAGGCUCGGGUCUUCCUUUCGGAUCUUCAGAAACGGGUCGAUGACUCGGACGAGUGUCUAAACAAGUACCAUUUCCGGAUCCAAGAUGUCGUCUUGGACCAAUACGAAGGUCCAUUUCUCUUGCUUCAUUUUUUCUUGUUUAAUUCGGUUGAUUUUUUUUUUUUUUUGAGCUAGUGGUUUGACUUUCUUUGAAUUAGGGACUAAAAAGUGAUUGUUUGUUUUUUAGUUUGGGGAGUGGUUUUAUGGAAGAUAGUUCGGAGGAAAAAGUGCUUUUGAUAUUAAGUGAUUUUUGGGAAAGUAAUUAAGUGCUUAUGUGACAUAAGAAGUGCAUUGUAGAAAAGCAAUUGUGCUUUUCGUAUGUUUUAAAGAAUUUUUGAGUAGUUCAGUUUGGUGCUUCUAAUUAAGUGUUUUUUCAGAAUGUGAUUUAUGUUCUUUUUUUUCUUCAAUUCAAGAAGUGCGUUUUAGAGAUGUAACUGUUAGAAAUUUUUCUGAAAGAAGCCCAAAAAAACGUAUGCUCUUUUUUUUUUUUUUUUUGUAGUUCAGCUGGAAACUUAAAGAAAAUGCAGAACUUACUUUUUUUUAAGAAAAAUCUGAUUUGAUUACUUGAAAACAUUUAUGAUUGUGAGUGCUAUUAAUUAUUUGCAUUUUUUUUAUGCAUUAACUUUCUUAACUUAGGGUGUUUAUUUUAUCAUGAUUAUUUUCAUUCAACAAUACAAUAGACUUUGGUUGGGUCCACCUUAGUUGGGUGUUUCUGAGCAACCAAUUAGGGUCUGGAGAAAACUUGGGUGGAGUGCCGAUCGUUUUCAGGAUUCAGUCCCAAGAAAAUACAAACGAAGUCGUAGUUGUAGUUUAAAUUAAUUUAUAUUUUUGUCUUUUUCUGUGAGCCCAGUGGGCUUUUGUUUUUACUUUGUUCUCUUUUGUUUCUUCCCCUUCUUUUCCUACUGUUUCUUGACAAUCAAAACAGACCAGGAUUUGUUUCAUUUAAACGUUUACUUUUGGUGUAAUUAUUCACUCUAACUCGAAUAAUGCAUAGGUUUAGUGCUAACAAAAUAGAAAGUGAAUUAAUAUCUAAAGCUGAUUUGGGAGUGGAAUGUAUGUUACUAAAAAUAUACUAUAUAGUAGAUAGAAUUUGCUUUUUAGGUAACACUGAAAUAAUAACUGCUGUUAACUUAUUUCAAUAAGCUUGUAAAUCAUUUCAUAAUAAGUCCUAGAUUUUAAUGGUUUUUUUUCCUGAAAUUUUUCGUCAGUGCAUGAGCAAAGUUCAAUGGAUGAACUUCUCUUUCAAUGUCACUGCUCCUCAUAUUAACUGUAUGAAACAGUAAUCUUGCUCUGUACUUUGGAGCAUUUUAAUAGUUGUUGCCAAUUCCUUAGCCAUUUUAUUCACCUCGUGCACAAAUUAUGCAAUCAAUAAGCCAACUCAACUUUCAUCUUUCUUCAGUGAAAAAUUUGCAAGGCCACUAGGAGGUUUUUGUACAUCUUAUGUAACUUGGCCGCCGUGGUUUUACCAUGUAAAUUUUCCCUAUUGGAAUUCAUGAUCCCUCAUAUGCCACUCGUGAAGCUGCUUCUGCCGCUUUAAAAGCACCAAAUUUCAGUUUUAUCCUUUCUAGCUUAUUAACUUGUCUGCAUACGCAUUAUUAUCUUUGUUAUUGUACGAAAGUUUCAUUUAUCAUCUUCCCAACAUAAACAUCCAUAGGUCAUUGUUCACUUUUUUCCUUUAGAGUCAUGCCCGAUUAUGGUUGCCGGAUUUUCUGCUCUGACAAUAUUGUUUCUAAGUAUAGGCUACCAAGGGAGAAAAAAAUUGACAAUGAUGGUCAUCCCCAGCAUUUUUAUCCCAGAAGACUGGUAGUUUACUUUCUAUGAAGGACUGAAUAGACAUCCUGACUCUAUUUUGAAGGACAAGACUGUUGCUGAGCUUGGUUGUGGAAAUGGAUGGAUAACCAUUGCCAUAGCUGAGAAGUGGUUGCCUUCGAAGGUUUGUUGGUUUGUCAUCUUUUGCCAUGUGGGAGCUUUUGUUUGCUUCCUUACCAGUGCCUUCAGGAGCUCCAUCGUGAUUUCUCUCCUCAUCGUUUUCUAUCUCCUUGUUUUGCAAGGCCACUUGUUAUUUAUAAGUAACAGUGUUGGCACCAGAUUAUGGUGUUUUAGUGCCCUCCUAUUCAGAAAAAUUACAUAUAAAUGAACAUGUGAAUUAUCAAGUCUGUCCUUGUCCAAAAGUCUUGAUUGGAGAAUGUUGAAAAUAUAACCUUGUAGCAGUUCUUUUAUGCUGUCUGAAUAUUCUUUUGCAGGUCUAUGGCCUUGAUAUUAAUC
This 84018-nucleotide long non-coding RNA is filed under the name Citrus maxima (pomelo). Its description in RNAcentral is "long non-coding RNA (CMAX_LNC004148)". Lineage: Eukaryota; Viridiplantae; Streptophyta; Magnoliopsida; Sapindales; Rutaceae. The record is from RNAcentral.